RNAcentral lists this long non-coding RNA (47963 nucleotides) under Triticum aestivum (bread wheat). RNAcentral describes it as "long non-coding RNA (TAES_LNC014977)". The record is from RNAcentral. Lineage: Eukaryota; Viridiplantae; Streptophyta; Magnoliopsida; Poales; Poaceae.
UGUGUUUUUCUUUACAGAUAAAUGCAAGGAUCUAGUUGCUACUAUCGGUCGUGAGUGCGAUCUGUUAAAAUGCCAGGGGACCUGCAAAGAUUUGUUUGGAGCGGAACUCAUAGCCUCAUGGUGUCUCAACGCCGUCCCAUACUAUUGGCAUUGUUGGUGUCGUGUCUGUUGGUAGAGUUGCACUGAACAAUCAUGUCGAAAUGGACAAAUGAUGUGAUCCAAUAAUAAAAUCUUCCUGUGACAUGCAUCUAAGAAUACAUAAUGAUUGCCAAAUCUAGGUGUUCUAUUCGAUUUUGUCAUGUGUGAUAUUUGAUCUCAUAAUUUUUGGUUUGCAUGGCCUCGUGAUUUAUAAGUUAACAAACAACCUUAUACGACAUGAAUGAACCGACCUAACUAUACCGGCAGUCCCAUUUCUGAUGGGCCUAGAACACAAGGAAGUAGUAUAUAUUUCUUUAGUCAGUGAGUAUGUUUAGUGGUAGAAACUUGUAGGAUUAGAUAUCGACCAAAGGAAUGUCCUAAAAAAAGAUAUCGGCCAGAGGUGGUGAAUGUGUGAAUUGAAUAAUUUUAGCAAUUUCUACAAAACAGAUAGAAGACCAAAGAAAUAGAUUGUUAAAAUUAAAAGGAUAUUGGCGAAUGGAAGAAUAACUUAACAAGAAACUAUACAAGUUAGUAGCAUGCGAGGCAAACUAGUAAGAUACAAGUGCAUAAAUGCCUACUAGCGGCGUUCAAAAAAUGUAUUUAGUGGCACUAGGUGCCGAUGCCGCUAGUGUGAUGGCAGUGGUAAGCUGGUACUACCGGCGUCCACACCCAAGGCCACUUGUAUAUCUCUCAUCUGUGGCGUUUGGUACCCAACGCCACUAACUAACAAAUUAUAAGUACUGCACCAUGGACGGUAGAUGCCAGUAAUAGAAGUCAUGUGCCAUGGAGCUAAUGCUUGCUUUGUCCUGUGGGUCCCAAUGUCAGUAAACAACUACUGCCAGAUAACCCCAGCAUGUUACACUAAUCUACUUAAAACAUUAAUUAAACUAAACAUUACUCAAACAUUAAUAUUAAACUAGUUGGCAUCAACAUUUUACACAGAUUUGAACAACACUAUUGAAAUCACAAAAUUAAAUCUAAUUAAAACUAAAAGGUGCGCCCGGUUCCUCGCAUGCACAUCGUCGUUCGAGAUGGCGACAACGGCCUCAUGGUCGUAGAUGGAGCCUAAGUGCUCCACAUUGGAUGGAGGAGCCGCCGGAGCAGGAGUUGGCUGGCUCAGCUCCUAUAGCAUCUCGUUGGGAGGAAGCGACUUGAAUAUCGCCCGAACCUAAGGAGGUGUGUGCGACAUCCACAGCUCCUUUGCAUUGUGGCAUGUAGGAGGCAGUGGCGGAGGUAGCACUGCUAGGAAAACCCCUAUAGGCAACCACUUAAUAGUGGUGCGGGUUAGUAAGACAGCGCUACUACUACUUAGUAGUAGCACGGGUGAAAACAACGCGCUACCGGUAGAGAAUAGUAGCCGCGCGGGCACAGACAAACUGCGCUACUACUAAGUGCUCCCCACCGUGCCCCUAGCACAGGUCAGUCGCGUGGGCUAUUGAAGACCCACAAGUAUAGGGGAUCAAUAGUAGUCCUUUCGAUAAGUAAGAGUGUCGAACCCAACAACGAGCGAAAGGAAUCAAUAAGUGGUUUUCAGCAAGGUCUGCAAGUGAUGUAAAAUAGUGGUGACAGAUAGUUUGAUAACAAGAUAAUUUGUAGCAACUAACAAGUAAUGAUAGUAACAAGGUGCAACAAGGUGACCUAAUCUUUUUUAUAGCAAAUGACAAGCCGAAAUUGUUUCUUAUAGUGAGCAAAGCGUUCUAGAGGACACAUGCGAAUGUUGUCUAGUUAACUUCAUCAAGAUUCGGACUCGUGUUCACUGUUUUGAUAAGUUAUUAUGUGGGUAGACUGGUGGUAGUGUGCUGUUCUUCACUAGUAGAAAACAGGGCUUCGGUCCAGGCCUAAAAAGCCCAUUAAUCCAUGUUCACUCACGAAGCGGGACCAAUGGGUGCAUCGGUCCUGGUUCGUGAGGCCAGAGCGCCGGCUAGGCCUCGUGGGCCAUUGGUCCCGAUUCGUCUGACCCCAUUGGUCCCGGUUCCAGACAAAAACUGGUAACAAUGGGCCUCGUUCCUAGCCCACAACCAUUGGUCCCGGUUGGUGGCUGGAACCGGGACCAAAUGUGGUCCUUUAGUCCCGGUUCUAGCCACCAACCGGGACUAAAGAGUGGCCUAUAUAUACCCCCCGCCCUGCCUGCGAGCAGAGACAUCGCUCUAUUUUCUUGGCCGGCCGUGGAGAGCUUUGUGGUGCUCUAGCUCACCUCCUAUGCACAUGAGGCAUUCGAUGAAAUGCCCGAACCACACUUAAGCUUUCUCCUCUCGAAGCUCCUUGUUCAAACUCUAUUUUCCUCGAGAUUUGUCUAGGUUUGGUGGUCCACGUCCUGUCUCGUCCCCGUCCUCACCGCCGUCGAUCGCCUGCGCCCAUCUCGUCGCCGGCACCACCGUGGUGAGCCUCUUGUUCUUAUCUUCUUUCUAUAAGAAAAAAGUUCUUACUUGUAUGAUUUAGAUAGAUACUUGUAUAAUUUUCUUACUUUUAUUAUUGUUUGUUAUUAUAUAGUGCGAUGGUUUUGGUAUCCGCCUCCGUCGGCCCUCGUUCUGUCUAUGAUUCGGAUGUGGUAUAUAUUAUCUUUUAUAACUAUUUGUUUCAUUUAGUGUUUAUGACAAUUAUGACGACCAACGUGACAUAGAUUUUUUACCUAGGAGGUAUGUGAACCGGAAAUUCCAACAGACCCUAUUGUCGAGAGGUUAAAUUUAGUUAAAGAAGAAAACAAUUACUUGAAGAAAAAAUUGAAAAAAAAAUAAGGAGGACACGAUUAUAUUGGAUUUGCAUGUUGCGGAUGUCGUUGAUGAUCACAAGAUCAACAUGGAUGCAAUGCGCUUGAAGAUUAGAAAGAUUAGAAAAUAUGUCAUUCAUACUGAGGCUUGGUAUCAUUAUGCCAUUGCAUCAAUUGUUACCUUAGUUACGAUUAUGAUCGCAUUUGUUGUUGCAUUGAAAUGUUUUACAUAGUUUCAAUGUAUGGAUUAAUUAGAUGCUCUAGAGAGCUAUAUGUUGUAUGUACUUUGGUUUUAAUGUGAUGAUGAACUUCUAUUAAUUUGGUCACUUCUAUAUUCAUGAUGUUUUGUAAUCGUUUUGGACACACUUAAUUAUAUAUAAUGCACGCAGAUGAACCGGCAAUGGAUGUACGGUGACAGACGCACCUCCGAGUACAUUAAGGGCGUGCAUAAUUUUCUCAAAGUGGCUGAGGCAAACAAGCAGAAUGGUUUUAUGUGUUGUCCAUGCCCUAUGUGUGGGAAUAUGAAGUCUUACUCCUGACCGGAAAAUCCUUCACACCCACCUACUUUAUAAGGGUUUCAUGCCACACUAUAAUGUUUGGACCAAGCACGAAGAAAUAUGGGUUACGAUGGAAGACAACGAAGAAGAAGAGGAUGAUGACAACUAUGUGCCCCCUGAAUAUGGUGAUGCUGCAACGGGGGAAGCUGAAGAUUAAGAGAAACCUGACGAUGUGCCCGAUAAUGAUCUUCGUCGGGUCAUUGUUGAUGCAAAGGGACAAUGCAAAAGUGUAAAGGAGAAGUUGAAGCUCGAUCGCAUGUUAGAGGAUCACAAAAAAUGGUUGUACCCCAAUUGCGAAGAUGGCAACACAAAGCUCGGUACCAUACUGGAAUUAUUGCAGUGGACGGCAGAGAAUGGUGUACCUGACAAAGGAUUUGAGAAGCUACUGAAAAUAUUGAAGAAGAAGCUUCCAAAUGAUAACGAAUUGCACGACAAUACGUACGCAACAAAGAAGGUUGUAUGCCCUCUAGGAUUGGAGGUGCAGAAGAUACAUGCAUGCCCUAAUGACUGCAUCCUCUACCGCGGUGCGUACGAGGAUUUGAACGCAUUCCCAGUAUGCGGUGCAUUCCGGUAUAAGAUCAGACGAGAGGACUCUGGUGAUGUUGACGGCGAGCGCCCUAGGAAGAGGGUUCCUGCCAAGGUGAUGUGGUAUGCUCCUAUAAUACCACGAUUGAAACGUUUGUUCAGAAACAAAGAGCAUGGCAAUUUGAUGGGAUAGCACAAAGAGGACCGUAAGAAAGACGGGAAGUUGAGAGCGCCCGCUGACGGGUCGCAGUGGAGAAAAAUCGAGAGAAAGUGGGGGGACUUUGCAUGUGACAUAAGGAACGUAUGGCUUGGUUUAAGUGCGGAUGGCAUUAAUCCUUUUGGGGAGUAGAGCAGCAAUCACAGAACCUAGUCUGUGACUCUAUGUAUCUAUAACCUUCCUCCUUGGUUGUGCAUGAAGCGGAAGUUCAUUAUGAUGCCAGUUCACAUCCAAGGCCCUAAGCAACCCGGCAACGACAUUGAUGUGUACCUAAGGCCAUUAGUUAAAGAACUUUUACAUGUGUGGAAUGGAAACGGUACGUGUGUGGGAUGAGCACAAACAAUAGGAAUUUGACCAAUAUGCGUUGCUGUUUGUAACCAUCAAUGAUUGGCCUGCUCUCAGUAACCUUUCAGGACAGACAAACAAGGGAUACCACGCCUGCACGCACUGCUUAGAUGACACCGAAAGUAUAUAUUUGGACAAAUGCGGACGAAUGUGUACCAGGGGCAUCAUCAAUUUCUUUCCACCAACCAUCAAUGUCGAAAGAAAGGCAAGCAUUUCAAAGGCGAGGCAGAUCACCAGAAGAAGCCCGCCAUCCGUACUGGUGAUCCCAUACUUGCUAUGGUCAAUGAUUAACAAGUAAUCUUUGGAAAGGGUCCCGACGGACUAUCUGUUCCGAAUGACGCCAAGGUACGCGCACCCAUGUGGAAGAAGAAAUCUAUAUUUUGGGACCUACCCUAUUGGAAGACCUAAAGGUCCGCUCUGCAAUCGACAUGAUGCACGUGACGAAGAAUCUUUGUGUGAACCUGCUAGACUUCUUGGGUGUGUAUGGGAAGACAAAAGAUACACCGGAUGCACAGGAGGACCAGCAACGUGUGCAUGAAAAAGACGGCAUGCCUCCAAAGCAGUAUGAAGGUCCUGCUAGCUACGCUCUUACCAAAGAAGAGAAGGAAACACUAGUACAGCGAUGUCCUAAACAAAUGAUUUUCAACCCCUUUCCGUGACGGCAUUUAGAACCAUCGCCAAGUGAGUGUGUGCGAUAGGGUGUCCUUUCCACGCGACCCAGAAAAUCGUCGGGGAUAAGCCCUCCAAGGACCCAGGCUGGGGUCAUGUGUGAUCGGGCGAGGCAUCGAAACCCAAUCAUUUCUGUAGGUAUGUACAUCCCACACGGUAAUCCGAGAAAAUCAUUUCCGUAGGUAUGUACAUCCCACGCAGUGAAUCCUAGAAAAUCAUUUCCGUAGGUAUGUACAUCCCACACGGUUAAUCCCAGAAAAUCAUUUCCGUAGGUAUGUACAUCCCACACGGUGAAUCCUAGAAAAACAUUUCCGUAGGUAUGUAUAUCACACACAGUUCUUUGUGUGGAAACGUUUGUGCAAGGUGGCCUAUCGCAAACAGUUCAUUGUCGGAAGCCGUGUGUGAUUGUUAGUUGAUCGAACACGCCUACUUUCUAAAAAUCAUGCGGGUUGUUUGAGUUCAUCGCCCACGGUGUUGUCUGAGUAACCGUUUGCAAUAGAAAACCCCAAUAAGCAGGGUAAUUAGCCUAUUAUUGAUAAUCCAUGUACUAAUCAAACUGAUAUUUCUUAUAAAACACGCCAGAUAUUUCAUAUACGUAUAAAAGCAACCAGGAUUUCAUAAUCAAAUUACAUCAGAUAGCUUCGGCACUCAAUUACGCCAUUACACAACAGCACCAAGUUUUACAUGCAGCAUCAAAAACCUUUGGAAAGUAGCAUCAUACACGGUAAAUAGACAGAUGAAUCGCAUCUGGGAAACUGCAGAAGCGGAAGGAAAAUAUUGAGCCUUCAGUGAUGUUAAAUGUGCUUGCAACUUUAGGCCAGUGACUAUGGAUAAUUGCCCGCCCAACCUUCAUCCUCUUCAGCAAGACUUCAAUAUUGUACCGUGGGUGUUGAAUGAAUAACUUCCUCGCCUCUUGACCAUGCAGGUGGUUUGAGAGGUAAUCAUCGGUGAACUUCUUUGAAAAGUACUAGAAACAAAGCUAUGCAUAAAUAGCUGUUGUAAAUUUUGAAAUGGCGCAAGGGGUAAAAACAAGGUAAAAGAGUUGGUACCAUCCUAUAGUUGACUGAUGUCUUCUUCAUUGUGCAAACAAAGAUCUUGCUGUUAUUCGUCGCAAGUUUCUUCAUCCUAACAAUCUUUCUGAGUUUCUUGACUUGACCGAUAUUCAUGGACAUCUCAUUUCCCAUAUGCAAAAUGGGUCGAACAGUGGGUCUAAGCCUCUCACAGCAGGACCUACAUGUGCAAGACCUAAUUGUAAGAAACCUAAAUAUUAGAAUGAUUCCUGCAACUGCACAAUAAUGUGCUAUUAGCCAAAGGACCCUACUUGAACAAACCUCGAUGGUAAACCGCAGUGUCUCCCAUUGUUUCCCUACAACACACAUAAGGAAGAUCUUGAUCAGGUUAACUGAGAGUUGCCAUACUAUUAGUAGAAAAUAUGUAUUGAGUACAGCCAAAUUCGAUUGGUGUCACAUGCAUAACAAUACAAAAUUGUACCCACAGCAAAUGAAAAUCAAAUUGCAGAACUGAACCAAACAGUUAAAUGGACAGCAGACCAAAUGAACCAAAAUAGUUAACUGGGCACGACAUUGCAGAAUAGAAACAUGUACUAGAAGAUAAGACAGUUAACAAAACAAAGAAUGCUUGAGAACAAUACUACGAAAUGUAGCAAUUGUUGGACCAAAGUGUUAACUGAACAUUACAUUUCAGAGGGCCAAACUAUUAACUAAACAUCAGAUUGCAUAUUAACAUUACAGAGGAAAAAUCACUAGAGGGCACUGGCGGUGGCCUCGAGAAAACAUCACGAACUGUAUUUUAAAGUAGACAACCGCGUGGCGGUGUCGACAGUGGCCUCAAAGAUGACGUGCUCCUCCAAGAUCUGGCGGUGGACACACAUGGCAGCCAUAGCGACCUCGUUCGCGCGUGCGUCCGCAUGCUACUCAGCUCCAUGUUAUACUGCGUGUAAAAUGGUUGUGGGCGGCGCUUAAUUGGAGGUGGGGGCAGUGAUUUUGAUGGAAGGUGUCACUCCGUCAGUCGGGGCAUGUGGGACGGGAAAGGAGGAGCAUGGUGUGGGUGGGGUGUGGAUUACCUGAGCAUAUCGACGAGGCCGCGCAGCAAGAAGAAGGGUCGGCGGCGAGGAGGCCACAUAGCAAGAAGAAGGGUCACCGACAAGGAGGCGGCGCUGCAAGAAGAAGGGUCGCCGACGAGGAGGCGGCGCUGCAAGAAGAAGGGUAGCCGGCGAGGAGGUGGCGUUGUAAGAAGAAGGGUCGCCAGCGAGGAGGCUGAGCUGCCAGUAAGCAGCAAUGAAGGUUUGAACUUGGAAAGUAAGGAGGAACAGUGGAAAUGUGGCUUUUGGUAGGAGGGAGGGGACAGGGAGAUAGAUAUUUCUGUGGUGGAGAAAAAAUUUCGCUCGGUGCCAUGAGAAACUAGCGCAAAAGUGUGGUUCAAGCGGGGGCGGUGGACUGUAGACGAUGAAGCUUCCUGCGUAAGCCAGACAAGACGGUGCCCCAAGAUAUUUUAUAUCGCAUCCCACACAAUUCUUUGUAGUAAAUUGUUUGUGGUAUACCUGAUUUUUUUCAUUAUGUUUUGAAAGACAAAAUGGUGUUAUGGAGGGAAAGGAUGGAGUUUGAAUUGCUAGAACAUUUACGUACAGUGAACAUGCAACUAGUACAUGAGUGUCGUGUUUAAAUUUGGAAUUAUUCCGGGUUCGUUUGGCAUAUUUAUGCAUUAAUUGAGUUUCUGGGCAUUUAAUGUGCAUAAUUCAAAUUUGAACUACAAGCACAUGCUUCAAUGCACCAAAUUAUGUUUACUCUUUUGUCAUGACAGGUGUUGAAACCUGGUGGGCGCGGGUCCGGAGCGUGGUGGGAGGGGUUCUUCUAUUCCACCCGCACCUCUCCGGAGAGCAUUGUUAGACAGUUUGGGGACACCAGUGGGCGCUUCUUCGUCGGCGUUGUUGCCCACCGGGAGAGGAGGCCAGGGAGGGAAGAAGAGAGGAGGUAGAUCAGGACAUGCCGCGGGAGAGGUAGGCAGGCUCCUACGCCUUCCUUUCCGCCACCCCCAGCUAAGUCACCCGAGCACACAACUGCUAGGGGGGCCGUCUGACGAGGAGGUUACGCGAACUCUGAUCCACGAGCCUCGGGUCGACGGGCCUUUGGCCCAAGACACUUGGGCCCACGUGACUUCGGACCAGGCUAUGUCCCAGGAGACGUCCGGAUGGGGUACCUGGUAGGAUCCGCCUGAGGAGCCAAGUGUCCAUGCUGAUGGUGGUGGGCAUCAGAUUUCUGAUAGCAGCGAGGGCGAGGUGGUUGAGGGGGCCACCAUCUACCAGCGUGGUAGUACAUAGCUCAUGUCCCUGACGGCGACCCAUGAGCAGAGGUGGUUGAUUUGGCCUGCUGGGUAGAAGUAAGAGCAUUUUCUCUUUUUGUACCUUUUGCCAUCAUGUUUCUUCAAAUAUCUAAUGUGUUGGCCUUGUCAUACUACAAGGGUUGGGACCACGCUCAGGAUGUCCGCAGGCACAACCAAGUCCUUGGUGUGAUUUUCCGGCAAAACUUCCCGGGGUUUGUCACGUUGCCUGGUGAGGGCGAGCUUCCAGAGCGGAUUGAGCUGGGAGCACUACUUGGCUGCCCCGGCCCCGCUGUAGGAGAUGAUCGACGGUGUCUUUUGCCACACGAGGGCUGACAUGGUGAUCAGAACGUUUUGGGUAAUUUCUCCUUUAUACAAUUAAAAAUCAUUGAAUAAGCUUAGUUAUUGUACUAAUCAAUGUUGUCUCGUUUGAUUGCAGACCUUCAACAGGUUUAAGGAGGGAUACGAGGAGGCCUGUGCACAGGUUACCGAUGCCGAGUGCAGGCGCCUACUACAAAACUUAUGGCACGAGGCUCAGGUGCAGGCUGUUCAAGACUACUUCGCCUCGCGUGGUGUUAGGAAGCCCAAGAAGAAGUGCCGCAGAAAGUUUCUGAAGAAGGAGCAGUACAUGACAGUAAUGGCCUAUAUUCUUAAGGCCUUGUUCUUAGUUUCAUUGAUUUGAUUCGUAGGCAUAGCGCUCAAGUUUCUCUUUACUAACUUAGGUGCCAUGAGAUGGUGUGCGGAUAAGAUGGGUUGUUGGGAGGCAUUUGUGGAUGAGUGGUGCUCAGACGCAUGGCUAGCCGUCCACAACAAUGCCAAGGACGGCGUGCCCAAAUGAGAGGUGUGCCACACCAUCAAGGCAGCGCCAACUUAUAUCAAUACGGGCGGAACUGGGUAUGUGGUUUGCUUCAUGAUUCAUGCAAUUCAUUCUGUCCUGCUAGCUUGAGCCCUUUAAUUACUAAUACUAUAUGUUCCUCUCUUUUAGGUGGGAUACAAUAUGGCACUGGUGCCGAGGUGUUCGACCUCUAUGCCAUGGCCCAUACUGCCCCGUACAAGAAGGCCAAGGCAUUCUCUGCGUCUGACCUUGAUCAUCCAAAGAACUUCCCCAACAUCUCCUCCCAUAACAAGCUCGUGAGGUACAGAGAUGUGGGGAAGGCGAGGAAAGGGGAGGACUUUAACCCAAGCGGGCUGUUUGAUCCAGAGGUGGUGAUGAUAUUUGGUGGCGGGAGGUCCCAUGGAUCGAUAGCCAUUGGAUAUAGACUUAUAUGUUGUCCUCGCACUCUCCCGGAGAACAAGGCAUGCUAAACGAGCUCAGGUCCUGAGAUAAGGCCUCGUCCACGGCCAAUCAAGCUCGCCUUCAAGGUUAGUUAUGCAGACUCAGAUUUCUUUCAAGCAUUGCAUUGUGUGUGCAGCCAUCGAUGAUUACAAUGCUAACGAGGAGUGGUGUUGCAGGCUGCUCUUGAGAGAGAGAGAGAGAAAUACAACCAAUGCGCUUAUGGUGAAGAGGGGCCAGCAGGCAGCAAAGAAGGAGCGGGACUUGGAGGAGAGGAUGGCUAGGAUGUUGGAGGAGGAGAGGGCACGGAAUGACAUGCGGAACUAGGCCAUGUAUGAGCUCCUCGUGGUAAGUUUCUUCUGCAUAUUAGCCAAAUCAUGCACGUAAUGUCCGUUUCAUUACUAGCUAAUAUGACUGACUCGUCAAAACCAAAUCUGUAAUAUGUGUGCCAGAAAGCGGUCAGACCCCUCCACCGAUGCCAGUCAUUGCUCCGGGAACCACGAUGAGUUUCAUUUGAAUGGUCAUUAGUUACUAGUCUUAACAUUUCCAGUGUCAUCAUGAUAACGAGACAUUGCAAAUGAUCUUUGGUGCAGCGUAACUCUAGACAAGCAUCGCACGAUCCUUCUCCAGAUGGUGUCGGCACGAGCAACCCUGGUGCUUCACCUCCAUGAUGACGGUAAGUUUUCUCUAGUGUUUUGCUUAACAAAUGCAUAAUGACCUAGACUUAGCUUUAUUUCCUCGAAAAUGAUCCAUUUUAGCUAAGUUAGCUCAGCUAUGAUCCAUUUUACCUAAGUUAGCUCAUAAAUGAUCCAUUUUACCUAGGUUAGCUCAUAAAUGAUCCAUUUUACCUAAGUUAGCUCCAAAAUGGUCCGUUUAACCAAGGUUAGCUCCAAAAUGAUCCAUUUUACCCAAGUUAGCUCCAAAAUGAUCCAUUUUACCCAAAUUAGCUCCAAAAUGAUCCAUUGUACCUAGGUUAGCCAAAAAAUGAUCCAUUUUACCCAAGUUAGCUCCAAAAUGAUCCAUUUUACCUAGGUUAGCUCAAAAAUGGCAUAAUUACUUAGGCUAGCACAAAAUGACCUACACUUACCUUGUUUUCCUAUAAAUUGACAUAAUAAGCUUAGCUAGCUUAAAAAAUUUCAUAAUUACCUAUAUAAGCUCUAAAAUGACACAAAUAAGGAAUAAGAAGAAAAACAAGGAACGGGAGAAAAAGAAAGAAUAGAAGAAAAAAUGAAAUAAGAAGAAUGAGAAGGAAAAGGGUAAAAACCCUCUUCUUCUUCUUCUAGUCUUCUUCUUCUUGUUGUUGUUCUAGUCUUCUUCUUCUUCUUCCUCUUCUUCUUCUAGUCUUCUUCGUCUUCUUCUUCUUCUAACUUGCUUACACCCAUUUUUGCAGAUUUGAUUCACUUCAUGGAAGCUGGCAUUGAUGGAAUGCUAGUUUUAGUUUCUGUUUUGAUUUUGUGUUGAUGAACAAUGUAUGUUGAAUAACUCCGUGAAACUAUGUAUGUAUGUUGAUGAACUCCGUGAAACUAUGUAUGUAUUGGACCUUUUAAUACCCUGUGUGUUAUGUUGCAUUGAUGGACUGCUCGAUGUUGGAUACAUGGGCUAUGUUUGAGGUUGAAACUAUAUAUAUCAUUUAUGUCUUUUGAAAAUACAUGGAUAUAACAGAAAGCAGAAAAAAUAGUAACAAUACAGGCUCUUUGCCAUAUGCCACUAACGGCAAAGGGAUCUUUGUCGUCUGCCACAGACGACAAAGAGGACACAUGGCAGCAACCUGUGCAACCUGGGAGCUGACCCAUUUGGUCAAUUUGCCGUUCGUGGCAGACGACAAAGACCUACUGACGUCACAAGGCAGACGACAAAGCCUCCCAUUAGCCACCCAACGUGGCUAAUGGCCGUUUUUUUGACCGUCCACAAUCUUUGCCAUCUUCCACCGACGGUAAAAUGUCUUUGCCGUCCGCUGAGGGAAAGCAGACGACAAAGAAGCUCUUUGCCAGAGUUUACAGCGCCGGACACGUUUGUCUUCCACUGACUAGUCCUUUGCCGUCUGCCAUGGCGGACGGCAAAACAGCUGAUUCCUGUAGUCGAGGAGAACAUUGUAUUGAAGAUCAAAGAGAGGGAAUAAGCCAUCUAGCUACUAGCUAUGGACCCGUAGGUCUGUGGUGAACUACUCACGCAUCAUCGGAACGCAACAAUGAUAAUAUAGAAGCCCUCCAUGAUCGAUUAAUAUUCCCCCUAUGGCAGAGUACCGGAAAAGGCCUCAAGAUGGGAUCGUGGAAUAACAUAAACUUGUGGUGGCAAAAAAAGUGUUUGGGAUGGCUCUUUGUAACAUCCCAAAAUUUCAAUUUGGAAUGUUAUACAUAGAUCAUUCAUGCACAUCAUAUUUUACUGCAUUUCGUUUCGCGAUCCUCGAAAUCCUAAGCAACUCAAGGACCCUCGGAGAGAAUUGGGGAUUUCUCAGUUUUCAUAUUUGAGUUUUAUCAAAUAUUGAAACGAGGAUUUUUGGUUUUAAUUAUUUUUUCUCUUCGAAAAUAUUUCAUAUUAAAAUAUAUGAGAGGAGAUAAUAUGACUUCUCCAAAGUAAAUGAAAUAUUGGAGGAAAAAUAUUAAAAUCAAAUAUUUGAUUUUUAUUCGGAGUUUAUUGCUAUUUUAUUUGAAUUAGAAAAAUUGCACGUUUUUCAAAGUUGCAUUUUAGGGCCAAGAAAAUGUUCAUCUUGUUCUAAAUAUUUUAUUUAGACGGUGAAAAUUUGUUUUGGCAUUUUUAGAUAUUUAUUUUAUUUUCUAGGAUUUAUUUAAGUUCUGGCGAAAUUAUUAUUUUUUAAGUCUCAGCGCCCGACUGGGCCGAAGCCCAGCCGAGCUGGCCUCCUAGCCCCGCGCCGCCGUCUCCUUCCAGGAGACCGGGAGGCUGCCGCCGCCCGCGAUGCCGAGUCCGGCCAGGACUCUGUCGCGCCCCCCUUGCCCCCUCCCCAAGCAAGCACCCCCCCUCCUUUUAUACCCCGCCUCGGAGCCCCCACCACCACCAACCCCGCCGCCUACCCCGNNNNNNNNNNNNNNNNNNNNNNNNNNNNNNNNNNNNNNNNNNNNNNNNNNNNNNNNNNNNNNNNNNNNNNNNNNNNNNNNNNNNNNNNNNNNNNNNNNNNNNNNNNNNNNNNNNNNNNNNNNNNNNNNNNNNNNNNNNNNNNNNNNNNNNNNNNNNNNNNNNNNNNNNNNNNNNNNNNNNNNNNNNNNNNNNNNNNNNNNNNNNNNNNNNNNNNNNNNNNNNNNNNNNNNNNNNNNNNNNNNNNNNNNNNNNNNNNNNNNNNNNNNNNNNNNNNNNNNNNNNNNNNNNNNNNNNNNNNNNNNNNNNNNNNNNNNNNNNNNNNNNNNNNNNNNNNNNNNNNNNNNNNNNNNNNNNNNNNNNNNNNNNNNNNNNNNNNNNNNNNNNNNNNNNNNNNNNNNNNNNNNNNNNNNNCGCCGCACUUCGCCGCCUAGCCGCGCCGCGCCGCCGCCCUUUGCCGCGCGCCGCCACUCGCCGUUGCCGCCUGUCGCCGCCCCGGGCCACCCAUCGCCGCAGCCCCACCUCGCCGAAGCCCAAGCCUCGCCUCGCCAGAUCUCGCCGGAGGUAAAGCCGCCGUCGCCACCGCCGGUUUUUUUAGAAAAGACCGAUCCGAUUUUUUUAGAAAAAAAACCCUAGGUUUUUUUUUUAAAUAGAUCGGUUUAUUUUUUUCUGGUUUAGUUUAAUUAGCGGACGUUCGUCCGUACGUUCGUUUUAACGAAUGGUGUUCACCCGAUAGUCGCAGACAGCGAACAUUCGUUCGUUAGCCUGUUCGUCAGUUUUCUUUUUCUCAGAUUAUCCAUGAUUAUUUUCGACCGCGAUUUCUGAUCCGAUUUUCAUUUUAGUUUAUCUUUUCGCUCAUUAUCGGAAUCAGGCGAUUCAAGCGCCUAGAUCUUCGUCUCAAAACCCUCCUUCUAUUUAACCAACUUGAACAAGAUUUUGAUACUGUAAAAUUUGACUUAGGUCCAGAUUAGUAAACGGAUCUUGUUUCUUUCGCAGUUUGAGUUUGUUACUCUAUUUGAUUUGAUUCUUUUUGCAAACCAGAGUUCUUAAGUUGGACUUUCUGGUUAGAUCUUCUUAUUUGAGUUUUACCCGUGCUUCUUUGCUUGAUUGCUUAUCUAUGCUAUUGUUUGUUUGCGAUAGAACACCAGGAGUGUGAAGCAUGCUACUACGAGUCUUUAGGUUUUGCGGAUCAUCAGCAAGGCAAGUAACACUUUGAUCAUACCUCUUUAUCACCCAGUUUUUAUGCAUUAGCUCCAAUCCUCAAACAUUGCAUGAUUAGGAUGUGAUUAACAUGUGGGUUGGGAAGUAGUUGAUGAGCUAGAACCUAUUGCCCUGUUAUUAUCAAACCCUUGGGAGUUACUUCUACGUAUUGCUUAUAUUGCUAUGCUAUGCUCAUAGACGUGGUUUGGGUGAGUGAAUCCAUGACAGAUGUGAGAUUAUUAAUUAAUGGUUCAACUUAAGGUGGCAACUUAAAUACACAUCUGGGUGGAUUGUUUGUUGGGCACCUGGGGAAUCCAGUGUUGUCCUAGGAUAUCCCGGAGUACCCGUGUGAUAAUCCUAUGGUCCGCCACCCAGGAUCAAAGGGAACUGGGAUAUUUUAUGCUAGAAACUUCCGUGUGCAGCCACAAGCUAUUAUGGUCUCUAGCAUAGUUGAGUAAGUUGUGUGAAGCUCCUGAAGAGGUGGAUCAGCAGGUAGACGGAUGUAGGUUGGUAUGGUCUGCCCGGAGUAAGGAGUUAAUACUUCUGAAAGACUGUGUCUCAGUCAUCCGUUUCUCAAACAUCAUGUAGUGCGAGAAAUCCAAUGGAGGAGAUCGGGUCUUGUGGGAAAAAGUGUGCAAACAUCUGCAGAGUGUAUAAGCUAAUCAUGGUUAGCCGUGUCCCCGGUUAUGAACAAAUCUUGAGUAUCUAGUACUUGGAUUAUCAUAUGUAUCUCAUCACUCUAAAUUAAUGUUGUUGGGUUGAUAAUUACUUUUAAUUGGGAUUGAGUUGGAGGAACCUUCUCAAUGAUGUUUCAACUACCAUGAUAGUUAAAUAAAAUAUAUUCCUUUGUUGUAGGAAAAAAUUGGCUUUUCGCAAAAACACUAUAACCAUAGAGCUUUCCACCAGCCAAAUAUGCAUGUAGUUAUAGCAUUAUUCUGUUCUUGCUCUACUGUGUUACUUUGCCAGCAUAUUCCAUGUGCUGACCCGUUUUUGGGCUGCAACGUAUUAUGUUGCAGACUUUUCAUAUGAGGAGUAAGGUUUGUUAGCUCGUUGCCAUGUAGCUCAGCUAUGUCGUUGGAGUUGAUGGACUCACUUUAUCUUCCAAGCCUUCUGCUGUUAUCGUAUUAGAUGGCCUUAAGCCAUGUUUAUUGUAAUAAGUUCUCUGUUGAGACAUUCGAUGUAAUAAGUGUGUGAUUGCUACUCUGUUAUAAAUCCUCGAGUACUGUGUGUGUCGGCAUUACCGAUCCAGGGCUGACACUGAAGCACAGAGACUUGACCGUUUGAGGUCGGGUCGCUACACUCUUUGUUGGUUUCCUAAUUUUAGAGAAUUUACAGAGAUGGGAUUAGGUCAAACGGAGCCACGUGUGGCCCAUAAGGUAACAGGGCGUGCCUACCCCCCUGGGCGCGCCAUGUUUAUCUUGCCGUCUCGUCCCUUAUCGUCUUCUCUCCUCCCGAAGCUUCUACGGUCUCUUUUGUCCAGAAGAAACUGUCAAAAAGUUUUGUACCGUUUGGUACUGAUUUCCUGGAAAACCAAAAAACAAGCAGAAAACAACAACUAGCACUUGGCACUAGGUUAAUAGGUUAGUCCUAGAAAAUGAUAUAAAAUAGCACAAAAACUUAUAUUAAAUAUCCAAGAUUGAUAAUAUAAUAGCAUGGAACAAUAAAGAAUUAUAGAUACGUUGGAGAUGUAUCACCUUCUCGUGUAUUUAUUGAAGAAAAGAAUGAUAUAUCAAUUAUAAAUAAACAGGUUUAGUAGGGAUGAAUACCAACUAUUUUUAAAUAAACAAUAUAAAUUACUUAACAAAUUUGUGUGACAAACUCACAUGGAGGUAGAAUUGGAAUCAUGUCCACAUCCACCCAAAUGUCGAUAUUAUCUUCAGGACCAAUAUUGAAGGUUAUUUUCAUAUCUUCCUGAAACCCAUAGGCGUUGCAUAGUACUCUCCAAUUUGAAUAUCCAAAAUGUGUGUGAUUUACUGCAUUGUAGAUCUUAACCUAAAAAAUGAAAUCAUGUUUCGUCUUAAGGUGAGCUUUCUUCAUCUCCAAACUCUCCCUAUCUUUGAAAUUGAGCUUCUCUAGGGCAUAAGGUCUUGCAUAGCAGGGGAUGCACUAAUCGAAUUGUAAAAAACAGAAAUUGCACGUUAAAGCAAAAAAGCACAAGUCAUGCUUAAUUACAAAAGAGCACUUGUCGUUGUUACAUACCGUAAAAUGUCCGAAGGUCUCCUUCAGCGUGAGGGUGAAGCACCUAUCGUUUUCCAGGUGAGGCAUGUCGCACAUACCCCCGUCGUUGGGGUAGUAAUUGCAUUAGGGGAUCCUAUUGUCGCUAGACAUUUCCUGUGUUCAUAAUUCAAAGAUUAAAAAUCGACGGCAAAUACCAGGAACUCAACACAUAGAUCACUAUUCGGCACGGGUUAACUUUCGAUCUAUUGAGUCUUCCUUGAAAAACUCUCACCCUCGUGGUGUGUAUGGUGGGCACUCCCUCUCUGAAAUUUUGACUGUCGGUGAAGGUCACUCUUCCCUUCUUUCCCAAGUGCAUUACACAAAAAUGUCUAGCACACGAAAAAGAAGGAGAAGCGACCCCAUGACAAUAGUCGGGACUCUUCCUCUCUGAUAUAUAGACCAUUGGUGAUGGUUGGAUCCCCCUUCCCUCGUGCAUUACCAAGGUCUAUCACGAGGAGAAGAGGAGGAAGCAACCCCUGUCGUGGUUCUAAGUCUGACAGUAGAGUGGGGGGUAGGUAUGAAGAGGCAAGGUCCUAGCUAUGGAGAGGUUGUAAGCACAAAGGAUGUACGAGUUCAGGCCCUUCUCGGAAGAAGUAACAACCCUACGUCUCGGAGCCCGGAGGCGGUCGAGUGGAUUAUGAGUGUAUGAAUUACAAGAUGCCGAACCCUUCUGCCUGUGGAGGGGGGUGGCUUAUAUAGAGUGCGCCAGGACCCCAGCCAGCCCACGUAGGAGAGGGUUUAAGGUGAGUUAAGUCUGGGGCGUUACUGGUAACGCCCCACAUAAAGGCCUUUACUAUCAUAAAGUCUACUUGAUUACAGGCCGUUGCAGUGCAGAGUGCCUCUUGACCUCCUGGUGGUCGAGUGAGUCUUCGUGGUCGAGUCCUUCAGGCCAGUCGAGUGAAUCCUCGUUGGUCGACUGGAAGGCGACCUCUUCUAAGGAUGUCCUGGGGUAAGUUACUUGGAUCAGGUCUAUGACCCUACCCUAGGUACAUAACCCCAUCAUUAGCCCCCGAAUGGAUUGAGGCUUCGAGUGAAGAAGGAGUUGAUGUCGUUUCCGAUUAAUCUUUGUGCUCCGGUUGUGCGCUGUUCUGGACCAAAGAAUCCCUCUGUCGACAGGAAACAACUUGCCUUCAGUCGACUUGAUCCAUUCUGUUUUUGCGUCGAGUGAUCUUUCAGGCUUCGACGAUCUCCGAGCGACGGAUCGCCGGAAACGCCGCGCCUGACAGACUGAUUUGUUGCUCGCGGGUUCCGCGGGAUGCGAAAUUUUGGGGCGCGCGCGAAGCGGGGCGGACCGCGGCGUUCGGAUGGGACGGGGCAUGGACGCCUCGAUCUCCGCGCCGCCUUUUUCGCCACGUAUCCCGUCUGCAUAACUGUUCCAGAUAUGAUUAGAUCGACCGGGCCCACCUGUCACCCACUCGGAAGGGACCUUAUAAAUGAGCCCGGUGAGGAUUUCUGUGCUGCGCCUUAGCAUUCUCCCCCUCUCUCUGCUUCCUUCCUCCCUGCUCAGCGUGCUCGCUCUCGCCCCCGCAUCACUUCCCUUCGCGCAUCUCUCCGGCGACCAUGGCCAAGGAGAAGACGGCGGCGCUGGAGCGUGCCAAGAAGGCGUCGGCGUCGGAGAAGGCGAAGGGGAGAUCCACCAGCCGCGGAGGGUCCUCGUCCAGAUCCCGCCUGCCGAAGGGUUGGAUCCAAGGAGACUGGAUCCAGUCGACCAUCACAGAGAAGGACCUCCUCGACAUGGCCAACGAGGGCUUGAUCCCUCACGGAGCUGCGAGGUUGCCGGGGAAUGAGUGGCAGCCACAGCCAGAAGAGGGUGAGUGUGUGCUUUUGGCCACUCAUGUCGAUCGUGGGUUUUCCUUGCCGCCAAGUAUUUUCUUUCGUGGCUUUUUGAACUUCUUCGGAGCGCAGCUCCACCACUUUACCCCAAACUCCAUUGCCUAUCUUGCUGCGUUCGUGUCCAUGUGCGAGGGUUUCUUGGGCUGUCGACCGCACUGGGGUUUAUUCAAACAUAUAUUCACGUGUCGAUCUCAGACCGUGAAGAAGGCGAGCCCCGGUGAUGAGAGAACCCGAGUCGUCCAAAUGUGCGGGGGCCUGGGGAUUCAGGUGAGGAAUAAGAGCACCUUCCCGCCCAUGACCUUUCCCGAGUCCGUUAGAGGCUGGCAGUGGACUUGGUUCUACUGCCAGGUCCAGUCAACGCCAGGGCAGUCGAGUGGACUCCCCCCGUUCACUAUGGACCGAGUGAGCAAGCCUUCCCCUCUGAAGCUGAUUCCGGAGGAGAGAGCCGACGUGAAGAUGUUGAUGGAGCGCGUGGUGCAGUUGGUUCGGGAGGGAGUGACAGGCAUGGACCUCUUGGAGGUUUUCCUCAGGCGUCGCAUCCAGCCUCUCCAGUUCCGGAGCCACUGCAUGUGGUUGUACUGUGGGACCGAAGACGAGACCAGAGUCCAUCCAGAAGCAGUCGACGAUGUCACUCUGGAAAGAUGGAUGGCGGCCGUCACCGGAAACAAGGACAACCCGCGCGGAGCCAGAAGGAUUCCUCCACUCGACCACAACAGUGAUCCAGAUAAGGUACACUUGCCCUGCUCUCCACUGCGCCCUCGUCGUAUUCAUUUCUGUUAAUCCUGCCGACUGGUCGACUGAUUCUUGUCUGGGCAUUUGUUAGGCCCUCACCGAGAUGUAUUCGAUGCCCAAUGGGGCACAAGCUUCGACUGAGGAGGGCGAGGCGAGCGGAGGCGAGAGCCAGGAAGAGGAGGAAUGGGACUCGGAUGUCGCAGAGGACGAUGACGACGAUGAUGAUGAUGUCAGUGAUGAAGACGACGUCGAGGACGAGGAAGAGGAGGAGGAGGAGGUCGUGCCACCGCGCUCGGAAAGGCGGUCGAAGCUCGUCCACGACCCUUCGACUGAACGGGGCAAGGGGGUUGCGACGCAGUCGACCAAGCGCCCUAGGACCACCUCUCCAGCGCCGACUGAAAAGGCGUCGAAGCAGCCCAGGGCGGCCUCGUCGAAGCCGAUCAAACUUUUGCCGAAGAUGUAGGUGUCCAUCCCUACCAUAUCAGGGUAACCGUGCUGCUCAUAUUUUCUUAUUCUGUGUGAACUUUAUUUCUGGUCGACGCUGAAGUUAGUCGACUGAUCCUUUGGAGUUGCAGUGCUGCUACUUCUGAAACUUCGGCCCGGGCCGAUGACCACGAGAUGGAGGAUGCGGCAACUUCGAACCCAGGUACUGUAUUCUUAACACCGUUUUUAGUCGACUGGCUCGCGACCUCUGAUCCUGAUUCUUCUUCGCAGCUCCGCCCCAUACUGUUAUCAAUCUCCCUGACGACGACGAGGAUGAAGAACCACUGGCACGCAGGAAGAGUCGGAAAACGCCUGCCAGCAAGGUGCCUCAGGAUGUGACGGCGCCUGAGACUCUGACUGUGGGGGAAGAGAACACCACUCGACACACGGUGUCUUUCGCAAAUCCGCUGACGAGUGCUCAGCAGCCCUCCCUCUUCACGACUCACCACGUCCCAGAGGACCAAGCUGGUGCAGCGAAGGAGGCAAUACGCCAGGCGGGACUCAUGAUGGAGCAGCUGAAGACCAUCCGAGACGCGAGCCAGGCAGCUUAUGACGCCAGCUCUGCCCUCCAAAGCAAUGUCCAGGUCAGUCGACCGCUGUUUGUUCUGUUGGAUAUGCUACCAAAAACUUUUCUUUUCCGGAAUUUAUAGUAAUCACCCAGUGGGUGUGUCGAAUACACUCCGUGUUAGCGGGGGCACGCUGAGUGCACCCGCUGGGUGUAGUCCCCAAGGCUAAGGUCGACUGCUGGCAGUCGGCCUUAGGCUUUAUGAUGUCAAUCUUUCUGCCAGUCGACUGGUCGACUGGAUUUCGCAAAACGGUGGGGGCACGCUGAGUGCACCCACUGGGUGUAGUCCCCGAGACUGUGGUCGACUGCUUGCAGUUGAUCACAGUCUUAGAGAAUGCAUCUCGCACACAUUUUUUUUUGAGGUCGACUGGUCGACUUUGUCUUCAACAGGAUUAGUGGGGGCACGCUGAGUGCACCCACUGGGUGUAGUCCCCGAGACUACGGUCGAAUGCUUGUAUUCGGCUGUAGUCUUAGAAACGUGUGUUUUUCCCUUUUUCACUCGGAAGUGAAUUAUAUUUGACAUUUAGUCGAUUGGUUCUUCGCAGGACUCUUGUGAUCUUGUGGCUCGCUACUCAGAGCUGGAACAAAAACAUACUCAAGUCGAGCUGAGCUUGAAGCUGGUUCAGGAGAAGCUGACAAAGGCAAAGGAGGAGACCGAAGGUAUGUUUGGUGAGACCCUGACGACUGUUUUUCCCUUUGCUUGUUUCAGCAUCUGAUCUUGCUGUAACUUGCAGGUAAGGUAAGGGAGGCCCAGCAGAAGAAAGACCUUGAGCUAGCUGAAAAGAUCAAGCUUGCUGACAAGAAGUUAGCUUCAGUCACCAAGCUCGAACAAGACAAUACCAAUCUGAAAACUGCUCUUGGGAUUGCCAACAAGGAGGUCAGUCGACUGAGAACUGACAAAGCUGAGCCCCCAAGUGAGAGGGUUGCUCUUCACUCGGUAGGAUUUUCACGACUUAGGCGAGUGCUUGGACUGCAGCUAAGCCCCCGAGUGAGAGGGUUGCUCUUCACUCGGUAGGAUUUUUAUAACUUAGGCGAGCACAGGGCUGCAGCUAAGCCCCCGAGUGAGAGGGUUGAUCUUCACUCGGUAGGAUUUUCACAACUUAGGCGAGUGCUUGGACUGCAGCUAAGCCCCCGAGUGAGAGGGUUGCUCUUCACUCGGUAGGAUUUUUAUAACUUAGGCGAAAUGGAUUCGCAGCUAAACCUCCGAGUGAGAAGAUUGCUCUUCACUCGGUAGGAUUUUGAUAAACUUAGGCGAAACGGAUUCGCAGCUAAACCCCCGAGUGGAAGGAUUGCUCUCCACUCGGUAGGAUUUUGAUAACUUAAGCGAGUGCUUGGACUGCAGCUAAGCCCCCGAGUGGAAGGCUGGCUUACCACUCGGUAGGAUUUUGAUAAACUUAGGCGAGUCCUUGGACUGCAGCUAAGCCCCCGAGUGGAAGGCUGGCUCACCACUCGGUAGGAUUUUGAUAACUUAGGCGAAACGGAUUCGCAGCUAAGCCUCCGAGUGGAAGGCUGGCUUACCACUCGGUAGGAUUUUCACAACUUAGGCGAGUGCUUGGACUGCAGCUAAGCCCCCGAGUGAGAGGGUUGCUCUUCACUCGGUAGGAUUUUUAUAACUUAGGCGAAAUGGAUUCGCAGCUAAGCCUCCGAGUGAGAAGAUUGCUCACUCGGUAGGAUUUUGAUAAACUUAGGCGAAACGGAUUCGCAGCUAAACCCCCGAGUGGAAGGAUUGCUCUCCACUAUUAUUUUGAGGUCCAUGAACUACAAAAGUAUUUUAUUGCAACUCAUCCGAGUGAUAAAACUUAAGUGUAGAAUGGGCGGAGUAGCUCUGCGUUCCAAGCUCGGGGCUCGUCGAUAUUAUGCUCGAUGUUGUAAAGACGGUACGCCCCGUUGUGGAGGACCUUGGUGACGAUGAAGGGGCCUUCCCAAGAAGGAGCAAGCUUGUGUGGUUUGUGCUGAUCCACUCGGAGAACCAAAUCCCCUUCCUGGAAGGCUCGACCUCUCACAUUUCAGGCGUGGAAACGGCGCAGAUCUUGUUGGUAGAUGGUCGACCGGAUCAGAGCCAUCUCCCUUUCUUCCUCCAAAAGGUCGACUGCGUCCUGCCGCGCUUGUUCAGCUUCUGCUUCGUUGUAGAUUUCAACUCGAGGAGCAUUGUGGAGAAGAUCACUCGGCAAGACUGCUUCAGCUCCGUAGACCAAGAAGAAUGGAGUUCUUCCGGUCGACCGAUUAGGCGUGGUCCGCAGUCCCCAGAGUACAGAUGGAAGUUCGUCGACCCAAGCUCCAGCCGCGUGUUUGAGAUCACGCAUCAGUCGAGGCUUCAGUCCCUUGAGAAUCAGUCCAUUAGCUCGCUCUGCUUGUCCAUUCGACUGCGGAUGGGCGACUGAUGCGUAGUCGACCCGUGUGCCCUAGGAGUUGCAGAAGGUUCUGAAUUCCUCUGAGUCAAAGUUUGACCCAUUAUCCGUAAUGAUGCUGUGCGGGACUCCAUAUCUGAAUAUUAGUUCCCUGAUGAAGCUAACAGCAGUACCGGUGUCAAGGCUCUUGAUUGGUUUAGCCUCGAUCCACUUGGUGAACUUGUCGACUGCCACCAGUACAUGCGUGAAGCCACUUCGUCCUGUUCUCAAAGGGCCGACCAGCCCCCAAACUGCAAAAGGCCAGACGAGUGGGAUGGUCUUCAAAGCUGACGCAGGUUUGUGCGACAUAUUCGAGUAGAACUGACAUCCCUCGCACUUAUCCACUAUCUCCUUUGCCAUCUCAUUCGCCUUGGGCCAGUAAAAUCCGGCUCGGUAUGCUUUGGCCACGAUGGUCCGAGAGGACGCAUGAUGACCACAGGUCCCCGAGUGAAUAUCAUUGAGGAUGAGUCGACCUUCUUCUGGUGUUAUGCACUUCUGACCGACUCCAGUCGCGCUUUCUCUGUAUAAUUGUCCUUUGAUGACGGUAAAGGCCUUAGAUCGACGGACGAUCUGUCGAGCCUCUUCCUCAUCCUCCGGAAGCUCUUUCCUCAAGAUAUAUGCGACAUACGGAAUCGUCCAGUCGGGAAUGACUACCAAAACCUCCAUGAUCAAGUCGACCACCGCUGGGACUUCAACUUCAGUCGGAUCUGUGGCACUCUUGGGCUGCGGAGUUUCUUCGGUGAAAGGAUCUUCUUUGACUGACGGAGUAUGUAUAUGCUCCAAGAACACACCACUCGGAAUGGCUUCUCUCUUGGAACCUAUCUUUGCUAGAUCAUCAGCUGCUUGAUUUUUCAGUCGGGGUAUAUGAUGGAGCUCCAACCCCUCGAACCUUUUCUCCAGCUUCCUCACUGCACUGCAGUAUCCAGUCAUGGCUGGGCUUCUCACGUCCCACUCUUUCAUCACCUGAUUGACCACUAAAUCCGAGUCGCCAUAGACCAUUAGGCGACGGACGCCGAGCGAAAUGGCCAUGCGCAACCCAUAUAGGAGGGCCUCAUAUUCUGCCUCAUUGUUGGAGGAAUCAAAGUGAAUCUGGAGCACAUAUCUGAGCUUAUCUCCUCUGGGGGAAACCAGGACAACCCCAGCACCGGAACCAUUCAACAUCUUAGAACCAUCGAAAAACAUGGUCCAAUGCUCCGAGUGAACUUCAGUCGGCUGCUGCUGUUCGAUCCACUCGGCGAGGAAAUCUGCUAUUGCCUGGGACUUAAUGGCUUUCUUUGCCUCAAACUUGAUAUCAAGGGGAAGAAGUUCAAUCGCCCAUUUGGCCACUCGACCAGUUGCAUCUCUGUUGUGCAAAAUCUCUGAUAGUGGAGCGUCGCUGACGACUGUGAUUGAAUGGUCAGAGAAAUAAUGAGCAACCUUCUUUGUGGUCAUGUAUAUUCCAUACACAAGCUUCUGAUAAUGAGGAUAUCUCUGCUUGGAUGGAGUCAAGACUUCAGACAAAUAAUACACUGGGCGCUGAACUUUGAGAGCUUUUCUUUCUUCUUCCCGCUCGACCGUUAGCACAGUACUGACGACUUGUCCUGUGGCUGCGAUGUAGAGCAACAAAGGCUCUUUGCUGAUUGGAGCAGCAAGCACCGGCUGGGUGGAGAGCAGAGCUUUUAGCUCGGCAAACGCUGCAUCAGCUUCUGGAGCCCACUCGAACUUGUCAGCCUUCUUCAUCAGUCGGUAAAGAGGCAAUGCCUUUUCACCGAGUCGUGAGAUGAAUCGACUUAAUGCGGCCAAGCAUCCAGUAAGCUUCUGGACAUCGUGCACUCGCACAGGGCGUUUCAUUCGGAGAAUAGUGCCAAUCUUUUCUGGGUUGGCGUCGAUUCCCCGUUCGGAAACGAGAAAACCGAGUAACUUGCCACCAGGAACUCCAAAUGUGCACUUUGAUGGAUUGAGCUUGAUAUCAUACCUUCUGAGGUUGGCAAAUGUUUCGGCGAGGUCAGCGAGCAGGUCGGAACCUUUUCGUGACUUGACAACAAUAUCAUCCAUAUAAGCUUCCACAUUCCGACUGAUUUGAGUGAGUAGACACUUCUGGAUCAUUCGCAUAAAUGUGGCUCCGGCAUUCUUGAGGCCGAAUGGCAUGGUGAUAUAGCAGAAGCACCCGAAUGGAGUGAUGAAAGCUGUUUUUACUUCAUCGGGCCCAUACAGACAGAUCUGGUGGUACCCGGAGUAAGCAUCUAAAAAAGACAACCUCUCGCAUCCCGCGGUCGAGUCAACAAUUUGAUCUAUGCGAGGGAGAGGAAAGUGAUCUUUCGGGCAGGCCCGGUUGAUGUGCUAAAAAUCAAUGCACAUUCGGAGCGACUUGUCCUUCUUAGGAACCAUGACGACAUUAGCGAGCCACUCGGAGUGGAAUAUCUCUCGGAUAAAUCCUGCCGCCAACAGUCGAGCCACUUCUUCACCGAUGGCCUUUCUCUUCUGGACGGUGGACCGCCGAAGAUGUUCUUUGACUGGCUUUGCAGACUUGUCGACUCUUAGGCGAUGCUCAGCCAGUCCCCUGGGAACACCUGGCAUGUCAGCGGGCUUCCAUGCAAAAAUGUCCCAGUUCUCACGGAGGAACUGGAUGAGCGCUUCUUCCUAUUUUGGGUCGAGUGUUGUGGAGAUGCGGGUCGGAGCUGCUUCGGGGUCGGUCGGGUGAAUGUGAACAGGCUUCGUCUCACCGGACGACUGGAAUGCAGAUUCUGUGGCGGGCUUCUUGGAUCGCAGCAAGUCACUCGGAUCUGCGUUUUGCUUGUAUUCUUCGAACUCGACCGCUGUCACUUGGGAAUCGGCAAUUUUGGAGCCCUUCUGAAAGCACUCCUCUGCCUUUUUCCUAUCACCGGUGACAGUGAUCACACCUUUGGGACCGGGCAUCUUCAAUUUGAGGUACACAUAACAUGGUCGAGCCAUGAACCGUGCAUAGGCUGGUCUCCCCAAAAUGGCAUGAUAUGCACUUUGAAAAUCCACGACCUCAAACGUCAAUUUUUCUUUGCGAAAAUGCUUUGAAUCGCCAAACACUACGUCCAAAGCUAUCUGGCCGAGUGACUCGGCCUUCUUCCCUGGUAUAACUCCAUGGAAGCUCAUGUUACUAGUGCUCAGUCGGGACAUCGGAAUGCCCAUACCUUUCAACGUGUCUGCAUAUAACAGAUUCAGCCCACUUCCACCGUCCAUCAGCACCUUUGUCAGUCGAGUGCCUUCGACAACUGGAUCGACCACCAAAGCUUGCCUCCCAGGGGUGGCAAUAUGAGUCGGGUGAUCAGAUUGGUCGAAUGUGAUGGGUGUUUGAGACCACUUCAGAUAAUUUGCCUUUGCUGGGGCAACCAUGUUAACCUCUCGGUUAAUCACUUUCAGUCGACUUCUGCUUUCCACAUCUGCGAAGAUCAUCAGAGUGGAGUUGAUAUGCGGAUAUCCUCCCUCACUAUCCUCUUUGUCUUCGGCCUUGUCCGGCUCCUUCUCCUUGUCCUUAGACUGUUUUCCCUGAAACUGUUGGAUCAGGAGUCGACAUUGGCGAGUGGUGUGCUUUGGGUAAAUGAUAUUCCCCUCUUCAUCUUUCUUCGUGUGAAUAUGACACGGCAUAUCCAUCACGUCGUUCCCUUCUUUAUCCUUUACCUUCUUGGGGUUCCAGGAUCCUUUUGGUUUCCCCUUAAACUUUCCUUGAGUCACGGCCAGAGCCUCUCCAGGAGCUGCCGGUUCAGCCUUCCGCUUCUGUUUCCGACUGGUGUUUCCUUUUUCCGACUGACUCGGCUUGUGCUUGCCGCUUCGGAGUCGGUCUUCUUCUUCGCCGUUGGCGUACUUGGUAGCAAUCUCCAUCAUCCGACUCAAGGUCAUGUCACCGGUUCGACCAAAUUUCAGACUCAGUUCUCUGUUCUUGACGCCGUCUUUGAAGGCGCAUACUGCCUGAUGAUCAGAGACAUUUUCCACAGUGUGGUGUAAAGUGAUCCACCUCUGAAUAUACUCUCUGAGAGUCUCAUUAGUUUUCUGCACGCAGACUUGCAACUCUGUCAAUCCCGCUGGUCGCUUGCAAGUCCCUUCAAACGUUCUGACGAACACUCGGGACAGAUCUUCCCAAGUGUAAAUGCUGCUAGGAGGUAAUUGAGUCAACCAUGCCCUGGCAGAACCUUCCAACAUGAGGGGCAAAUGCUUCAUGGCCACCUCGUCAUUCCCACCACCGAUCUGAACUGCCACUCGGUAGUCUUCAAGCCAAGUUUCAGGCUUAGACUCACCAGUGAACUUGCUGACUCCUGUCGCCAACCUGAAAUUGGGGGGGAUAACUGCGGCUCUGAUAGCUCUGCUGAAACAUUCAGGACCAGAAACAUGUACUCGACUGCUCGAGGGUACAUCUCUGUCGAGUGCGCCUCGAUGGGCUCUGUUCCGGUCGACCAACCCUUGCACGAUAAUGGAUCGCGUGUCGAAGCCUGGCUCUCUGGGGUCAACUGGAACCCUACGCCCAGUACUGUACUGACGCCUAUCAUCUGUCUGCCGAGGAGCGUAAGACCCACCCCUCGGAGGGGAAUAGGGCACUCGACGCCUAUCAUCUCGGUCGAGUCUGUCGCCAUAUUGAUCUCGCCGAUUCUCACGCCCUUCGCGCCGCGGAGGCGAUCUGGGGCUGUGAGCCGACUGAACCGUAUUCACAGUGACAGAUCGACUGUGAAUUCUGUUGCGCGACUGAGACACGGCUGAAUUCUGAUCUCCUGCUGCCCGGAGCAGAUCCCUGAUCUGCAGCAAACCUCUGCCAGCUUCCGACUGCGAAGGUUGAAUGGACUCUGCUAUACGGGUCGCAGCUGCUAAAUUCUGAAUUGGGGUUCGAUAUACCUGAGUCGGCGGGAAGAGUUGACGUCGACUGGUGUCAGGAACUCGUUGCCGCGCGCGCUCGUCAAGUGCUCGCUGAAGGUUCUCCAGUCGAGUGCGCUCGGCCAAAUUGGCCAGUCGCGCCUCCUCCAAGGCACGAGCCUCGGGGGUUUCUCCUGCGAUGGGAAUACGCAGGGGAUCCUCGUUCCUGCGGCGAAGCUCUUCUCUUUGCAGAGAGUCGAGUGGCUCGGGCUGAUACUCUUCGUAGCCUCGUGCAGGGUCGCCGCCGUCACCUGCUCCACCACCACGGGCGAAGCCAGGAGGGCUGUGGGGCCCGUCGACCAUCAAGAUUUCCGCCGCUGGAUCACUGCUUCCGCAUUCGGAUGUAGUCUCUCCGGAGCCAGUCGACUGAUCGAACAAGCCGUAGAGAGAUUCGUUGGGCUCGAUUGCCGCAACUUGUGUAGUGGCCGACUGGCGAGCCACCGCGUGACUCACCCAUCGCUGAAGCCUCGACCGGCCUGAGCGCUUGCGCUGGCGGGAGACCGGGAGGGUGGACGAUGGAGGAGCCGACCGAUACUGGGUUGACGGUUGCCGCAGCAGAACGCCGCGGACACAUGCUCGAAAAUGCGUCGCACCGCGGACGGGGAGCGCAUCUACGUCGAGUGGAGCCUCCUGGAGCCAUGCGGAGUCGUCGGCGAUGAAGGUGAGAGUGCCGAGACGGAUCUCUUGACCCUCGACCAAAACUCCAGCAGACACCAUGAUGAAAGUACUCGGAAGAAUCGCAACUUCUCCACAAAAUCGCUAAAACACCUGCCCCACGGUGGGCGCCAACUGUCGUGGUUCUAAGUCUGACAGUAGAGUGGGGGGUAGGUAUGAAGAGGCAAGGUCCUAGCUAUGGAGAGGUUGUAAGCACAAAGGAUGUACGAGUUCAGGCCCUUCUCGGAAGAAGUAACAACCCUACGCCUCGGAGCCCGGAGGCGGUCGAGUGGAUUAUGAGUGUAUGAAUUACAAGAUGCCGAACCCUUCUGCCUGUGGAGGGGGGUGGCUUAUAUAGAGUGCGCCAAGACCCCAACCAGCCCACGUAGGAGAGGGUUUAAGGUGAGUUAAGUCUGGGGCGUUACUGGUAACGCCCCACAUAAAGGCCUUUACUAUCAUAAAGUCUACUUGAUUACAGGCCGUUGCAGUGCAGAGUGCCUCUUGACCUCCUGGUGGUCGAGUGAGUCUUCGUGGUCGAGUCCUUCAGGCCAGUCGAGUGAAUCCUCGUUGGUCGACUGGAAGGCGACCUCUUCUAAGGAUGUCCUGGGGUAAGUUACUUGGAUCAGGUCUAUGACCCUACCCUAGGUACAUAACCCCAUCAACCCCCACGACAACAGUCGGGAUUCUUUCUCUCUGAUAUUUCAACCGUAUAUGGUGGACACUCCCUCACUGAUAUUUCACGGUCGGUGAUGGUCGCUCCCCCCCUUCUCUCAUGCAUUACCAAGGUAUAUCACGAGAAGAAGAGGAGGAAACAAUCCCCAAGACAACAGUCAGGAUCCUUCCUUCAAGAACAGACUGAAAGUCACACAAGGAGCCCCAACAGACUGAAAGUCAACCCGUUACAUAUAUGAAGUAAUGACAUAAAAAAUGGCCUAUGUUUUGCCGGAAUAUCGUUUAAUUCGUUCUGGCAAAUCACGGGCACUCGAUAUGUCCUACUUUCUAGCACAAAUCAUGCCAAAAUUCGCGAAAAACUUCGGCAUGACCUUUGCUAAAAAUAGGUCAUAUCGAGCACCUAAAAUUUGCCGGAAUGAAAAUGAAUCAACAUUCCGGCAAAACAUAGGCCACUCGGAGUUUUCGUGCAAAGAUAUGUGGCACCAACACUAUGUAAUGUACUAACACAGCAAAAAUGCACAAGUAGGUAUCUCUGCACGGCAUUUAUAAUGCUCAUUCAUAUGUACUAUCUCUGCACAGUACAAGAGCAGCAUCUACAACGUAAUCACUUAAGUAAAAAAAUUACAAAAACAAAACAUGAACAUCUGUUCAUUCUACAAAAUGAGCACCCACAACUCUAGGAGUAUUUUAAAAUGACCAUUUUAACUGAUCAUUUAGGUCAAACUCUGGGAGUAUUUUAACACUACUGCGUACUGACCAUUUUAACACUACGAGUAUUUUAAAAUGGCUGUUUUAACUGGUCAUUUAGUUCAAACUCUAGGAGUAUUUUAACACUACUGCUUACUACCAUUCUACCAAUUGGUUGCUCUGGAUGAGCUAAACAAUAAAAUUCUACCAAAAAAUUCAGUGGACAUGAUUACUAGCUAUGACCUAUCUACCAUUCUACCAAUUAUAAUUGUUUAGCAAAUUUGAAGCAGGUAAUCAUCUAAGCUAAGUUAGAUUGUUCCGGCAAAUCAUGGGCAAUAGCUAUCACCUAUCUAAAAUUAAUUUCAUCGACAUUAUCAUAGUUUUCUUAAUCAAAUGCCAUUUACUACAUGAUUAUGUUGAAAUGAUUUUUUUACAAAUUGUUCAUGAACUUGACACUUGUUAGUAGAUGUGAGGAGAACAGAGGGAGGAGGGGAGGGAGGGAGGAGCUAGCUCGGUGGAGGAGGAGCGGGGGCGCCGGCUGGCGACGACGGCGGCAGGCGACAACAAUGUUGGGGAGGAGAGGGGAGCGCGAGAGAGUGAGAGUGAUGAGGAAACAUACGUUCGGGUAGGGGAUAUGGUGCUUAGUAGUAGCGUGGGGCACAUGGCCCGCUAUAGUUAAGUCCAAUACAUGUAGCGCUUGUCCGCAGCCACGCGCUGCUGUUAAGAGGGGGCCACCGGCUGGCCUUGCGUAUCAAUAGUGGCAACGAUGGGUGCAAACCCCAUGCUACAACUAACAUGUUAGUUGUAGCGCGGGUAAUGUACCCCACGCUGCUACUAUGGCUCGACCCGGUGGGUACCGUGGGGGCCUCUUAAUAGCACCGCGGGUUACAUCAGCCCGCGCUACUACUACACCGUACCUGUAGCGUUGGGUUCUGACCCGCGCUACAACUACUUAAUAGUAGUGGGGGGCACUUACCCCUCGCCACUGUUAUUGGUCUACCUAUAAGGUUUUCCCUAGUAGUGAGAUGUUCCGGCAUCCUUGUAUGACAAUUUCCAUAACAAUCUUGGGAGGGAGCAACUAUUUAGCUAGAAGAAUGUCAUAAAAAACAGAGAUACCCAGCUUUUUCAAUGGAAUAAUACUUUUGCAGCAGUCUUGCGAGAAGUAGCAGACACAAAAAAGAUGUCUAGAGGUCUUUUCUGUGUGUUCAUUGUAGAAAACACACUCAUAACAAUCCAGGUGAAAGGAUUUUCUUUUUAACAGAUUCCUUGAGUUUACUCUAUUAUGCAAAGCCAUAAGAAAAUCUUAUGUCUGAGCCUGCUAGAGCAUUUCCAUAUCCAAUCGAAUAGAGUGUGCACCUCUUCUUGCGGGCAAAGAUUGUGGUACAUGGUGAUGGAAGGGUAUUUGGAUUUAUGUCUUUUGCAUUUCCAUUGGCCAUUGAUAUCAAUCUGUUGUUUCUGCUCAGUCAAAAGUUUUACCUCAAUAUACUGAAUGUGAGCUUGAGCUAUUAAAGGGGUGUGGAAGAACUGAGAGGGAUCCCGAGCUUCAAUCCAACUUGAUAAAGUUUGGUGUGCAUUGAUUGCAAAAGAGUGCAGUUUGGGGAGAAAAGUUAAUCUCCGAUGCACGGGAGGUACCGUGCAUGCAUGCGCAGUUGAUUUUGCUUGGAGAUCCGAUGUCAUGCAUUUAUGGUGCUCAGUUAGUUAGAUCUUUCUCUCACCACAUGCAAACAUACUGUACCACCUAUGCUCCACCAUCCCAUGCCUUUUCAUUUUAGUUUCAGGUUUAAAUCUAUUUUAUCUUUUGAAACCAAAGUACAUUUUAUGAUCCGUUUUCAUAUGUGUUUUUUUACGACGAGAUCUUUGAAAAGAGACCACUUUUGAAUAUAUUUCAGAAAAAAAUUAAAUUCUGAAACAUGGUGGAACACUAUAAAAGUACACAUAACUAUGCUAUGUUUCGUUAAACACUAUAAAAGUUCAAAGUUUUGUUGCAAUAAAAUAUAUUAAUAUUUACAAACUUUUAUACAUUACUAAGAAUCAGUUUGAUACACAUUGGCACACAAUGUGACAUUAUGAAAUGCAACGGGACAUGGGGAGCCAUAGUGGAACACUAAGAUUAUUUUUUGCGUGCAAUAAAACAUUGUUAAUUUUUUCACAUGAAAUUAAUAGAUUUGUAUGGAACAAGUUUGAAGCAUGGUGAUUUAGUUGUCAAAAAUAAUAAUUUCUGAAAAUAUAUUCAAUAUUGGUCUUGUUUUAAAGACCUUGUCAGGAAAAACACAAUUUUGCAAAUAGAAUAUAAAUCAAACUUUUAUUUCAACAUGCAUUAGGUAUCUAUUUAUUUGAAUGAAACUUAAUAAUACAUAAUAGCAUGUGAAUGUAUGUUAAGAUGAGAGAAAACACUAUAGAAGUGGUCCCACACAGCAAUAAAAAAUGUGAUGGAUGCAUGCAUGGGAGAUCCCGUGCAUGGUAGAAAAUCCUCUCUCGCAGUUGGGGGAACUUCUGCCACGAAACUACUACGCACACGAUGUUUUUUUGCACGAUAGAAAUCAAACGAUCUGGUCUUCCUUUGCCCAAAUGUUGUAGGGUCAGAUCACAAGUAUCGUCCACAUAUCGUGCAUGAAUUAUCGUCCAUAUAGCACUGCUCUUUCUGCCACAUAGGCUGGUCAUGCCAUUCAUCUUGCCAAAGAAGAGUUUAUUUCCCGACAAACACAAGGCGAUUGUUUGUGCCGUCCAAGAUCAGCUUUCUAGGGGAUGGCAUUGAUGUAGAGCUCCCGGGCUGAGUAAUCAGAAAUUUUCAUGAUUUUGUGUAAGAUCAAAGUUGAUGUCAGUGAUGUUAAUUCAAUUUGAUGAUGUGAGGUCCUUAUGGUCGGUACCAACCCUAGCAUAAUUUUCUCACCAUUUGGCCCUUCUAUCUCCUCACCAUGGUCAUAUGGACGUCGAUCGCCCUGUUGCAGCAUCGUCCUUAAAUGUUGGUACUCACGAGUUUACGCACAAGUGCAUACAAAUUUUCGCCUGGCAUUCUGCAGUUCUACCCUGUAAUUUAGAAGCACACUCGAUCCAAGUAGACGUGCGUUGGCGUGUACGUCAUGCUUGUAAUUUGAAAUGUUUGGCGCAAGUGGUAAUGCUGAGGCACUACGCGCGUCCCCACCAACUAUCGCGUACACCUGCUAAGUGCAUAGUUUUGUCUUGUCCGAUAGGUCCUUGGAGUUCUCGCUUGCCAUUAAUCUGUCCAAUGCAGUAGCAAAUUAUCUAGUAUCACCUUCCGCCCUCGAUGUCUGGCGUGAAUCUUCCAUAAUUCCCCUACUCUUCUUUAAUACCUAUAGUGGCAACGGAACUCUUCUUUAGUAUUACCGGUCUCGACAAAUCCGAGGGUUGAAGGAGAAGAGACAGAACAUGGUGGAGCUAGCAAAAGAAGUCGAUGGUUAUAGAACAUGGUGGAGUAUACCACAUGACAAGCUGUCCUUGCUGGUGUAUAUAUAGUUCAGUCGACUUGCUCAGUUCUCACUACCCUCACCUGUCAUCUCAGUGCUUCCACAUUCUAGUCACCCUAGCUAGUUUUGUCACUUGGAGUGUGUAUCAGUAGAUCGAGGCAGAAAUGGCCAGGCGGGACGACGACUCCGCUUACACGAAUGGAUCGGUGUCGGUGAACGAUUUCUCCGUGGAGGAUGGGAGGAAGGAGAAGGAUGUGUCUGCUGAUUACCACCCUGACCAGGACAUGGUCUGUGGCUUCCCCGUCUCUGUUUCUUUUCUUCAGAUGGUGAGCCUACUAUAUCUAUCUCGGUUGAUUCCUAUACCUCUCUCGAUGGAUGUACGUAUAUGAUUGUGUAUAUUCUGUUUACAUCCAAGAUCCAACCACUGUUUGACUACGCUGGCUUGUGCAUGUAGCUCCUCGCCGAGUUAUUCUCCACAUUCUUCUUGCUGUUCGCCGGCAUGGGCGCCAUCGUGGUGAACGAGGAGAAGCAGGGCGCGGUCACGUUCCCGGGCAUCACCGUGGUGUGGGGGAUGGCCGUCAUGGUCAUGGUCUACACCGUCGGCCACAUCUCCGGCGCCCACAUGAACCCCGCCGUCACGGUCGGCUUCGCCAUCGCCCACCGGUUCCCCUGGAAGCGGGUAAGCGCCACCACCAGAUUCGCCCCCUGAGGAGAGUGAACGACCUGCAGAUGACAUAUGUGAAUAUGUGCGCGCAGGUGCCGGCUUACAUGGUGGUGCAGAUGGUGGCCGCGCUGAUCGCGAGCUUUCUGCUGCGGCUGCUGUUCGGCGAGAAGCACGAGUUCGCGCCGGUGACGCUGCCCACGGGCUCCAACCUCCAGUCGCUCGUGGUGGAGUUCAUCACCACUUUCUACCUCGUCUUCGUCAUCAUGGCCGUGGCUACAGACGACCGAGCGGUAAGCUAGCUAGGCCGCCAUGCAUGCAUGCAUGCACCGACGAGAGACAUGCACGUGCAUGCAUACCUGCGCCCUACGUACUUACCAUCCAUUUCUCGUUUUUGUGCAGUCGGGGCAGAUGGCUGGGCUGGCUGUGGGCGCAACCAUCAUGCUUAACGCGCUAUUCUCUGGGUACGUACGCCUUGCUGCACUGUUGCUUAACUUUGCGGCAUGAUCAUUGAUCUGCCGCUUCAUUGAUGUUUACGCAUGCAUAUUUACCUACGUACGUGCGUGCGUUUGGUCGACCAUGACAGGCCGGUGACGGGAGCAUCGAUGAACCCGGCGAGGAGCAUCGGGCCAGCGCUGGUGUCGGGCAAGUUCAAGUCGCUCUGGGUGUACGUCCUCGGGCCGUUCGCCGGCGGGGCGGCCGGAGCUUGGGCUUACGGUCUCGUCCGCCACACCAGCAAGCCGCUGCGCGAGAUCACCAAGAGCACCGGCCGGGCUUAAUAAAUGAACUCGUACUAAAUUAAGAACCGUGCGGUAUACAUGUUCGGACCGAUCGACACGCCCAAGAGAGGACCAAUAAUUGGAGCUACGAGUGUAUGGUGUGGUUACUGUCUGAAAAACGAUGCAUUCCUAGCUAGUCUAGCAUAGCGUGUAUCGAUCUAUUUACAGAGGACGACGGAUAUACGAGCGAAUAAAUAGGCAUGUGCUUUUACUUGUUGCCUGGUUGGUAUGUAUGUGUAGUGAUUAUUGGCGAGGCGAUAAUCGAUAUGUGUGUAUCUUACUUUCAUAUAUGUGCACGUCCUUUUUCUUUUUAUUGUUGGCUUUAAGAUCUUUGCCGAUUCAAUAACUAGAACAGAGAUUUGUAACCCAUCUAAAAAACAGUUUGCUACAAGAGGUAAAAGCAGUCGAACAGAGUUGACUUUCUUUCCGGGCGCCUUUUACACAAAUGUAAUAUCGCAUCAAGAGAAUAUAAGCAUUACGAGCACAUAUUCAGCUCUACAUGCAUUAAAAUUACACAAAUGCACACACACAAAGAACGCGGAUAAAACAAUGAAUGUCCGAUCAAGCCAAUUCAAACAUGCAGCAUGAACCAUCAACAUCAAUAACCCCCUAUGAUAGCAUCCAGACAGAAAAAAUUGCUUUAACAAUGACGCCUCCAAAAAAGAAAUGGCACACAAGUGUUGCCAUCAUGGAUCAAUCCAUGGAGGCAUGAUCUUUGGUUUCACCUCAAAGAGGACGUCCAAGCAAAUUUCUAGACAAUGCCUCCAGCAAAGGAUGAUGUGGUCACUACCAUUGCGAAGUACAACCAAUGAAGACCAGGCCUAGACUUUUCACUCCGGAGCUCGAGACUAUGUACUCAAGAGCACCAUCAAAUUUUAAGGGAGCCGCUAGAAAUUAGACGUCUGAUUUUUAGCAUCCCAUCAAACUAGUCAUGCAUCGUACGGUUUGUUUGAUCUCAUACGUUCCAGAAAAGGGGGUCGGGCUCUCCUACUGGGUUCCCAGCACGCACUAUCAUGCAGGGCCAACCAGCGGGCAACACGUGUCUCGCUGGACCCCACCACUCAAUACAACGUUUUCCUUCUUUUAAUUUACUGAAAAUAAUUGUUUUUGCCUUAUCCCAGCGUACCGCUGCUGCCACUCAUUCCACUGUGAGGGAGGAUUCUGAGCAGGUAAAAUCCGCCAUUCAUGGCCGUGACCGGCGUCAAGACCGGAGCUGCUAGCGCCGUCCGUCUCCGACGCUCUUCUCUGCCCGGAGCUGUCACGGCUAGCCUCACCUGUUGCCGGUGCGCUUCUCCACCCGGAGCCGCGGGGUUGGAAGGUGGUAAGGCCAACUCCAUCGCACGACCCCAAAUCGUCCGGGUCUGUCCGUUUGAGGUAAAACGGACAAAUCAUACGUUCCAAUGCGCGACCUCAUCCUAAACAAACGUCUGUUUAUGGUCCGCCUCGGCCCAUCCUCGGAGCAAAGUUGGUCUAGGUUUGCGUCUCGAACGGACACGGGCGGACGAAUCUUGCGUCCUCCUGAUCCGGGCCGUGUCCUCUGCAUGUGACGCCUGACCCACCCGCCAUCCUCUCUCCUUAAUCUUCCAUGGCCCACCAUGCCCACCCACCACCUCUCUCUCCUCUGCUCCACACACCACCCAUGCCGGUGCACGCGGGCGUGGGAGUGCGGCGGGCACAUGGGCUAGCGGCGCGGCUGUCGGUGCGCGCAUGGGCGAGGCGAGGCCGCGAGCAGGCGGGCGCACGGGGUGGGGAGCAAGCNNNNNNNNNNNNNNNNNNNNNNNNNNNNNNNNNNNNNNNNNNNNNNNNNNNNNNNNNNNNNNNNNNNNNNNNNNNNNNNNNNNNNNNNNNNNNNNNNNNNNNNNNNNNNNNNNNNNNNNNNNNNNNNNNNNNNNNNNNNNNNNNNNNNNNNNNNNNNNNNNNNNNNNNNNNNNNNNNNNNNNNNNNNNNNNNNNNNNNNNNNNNNNNNNNNNNNNNNNNNNNNNNNNNNNNNNNNNNNNNNNNNNNNNNNNNNNNNNNNNNNNNNNNNNNNNNNNNNNNNNNNNNNNNNNNNNNNNNNNNNNNNNNNNNNNNNNNNNNNNNNNNNNNNNNNNNNNNNNNNNNNNNNNNNNNNNNNNNNNNNNNNNNNNNNNNNNNNNNNNNNNNNNNNNNNNNNNNNNNNNNNNNNNNNNNNNNNNNNNNNNNNNNNNNNNNNNNNNNNNNNNNNNNNNNNNNNNNNNNNNNNNNNNNNNNNNNNNNNNNNNNNNNNNNNNNNNNNNNNNNNNNNNNNNNNNNNNNNNNNNNNNNNNNNNNNNNNNNNNNNNNNNNNNNNNNNNNNNNNNNNNNNNNNNNNNNNNNCGAGCGGGCCGAGGCGAGGCGCGGGCGGGGUGUGGCAAGCUCGCCGGCGGCGAGGCAGGCACGGCGCGGCGGGUGCGGGGCCGAGCCGGCGUGGCGAGAGCACGAGCUCACGGGCGGGCGAGGCGCAGGCAUAGGUGCGCGACUGAGGUGGACAAUUUGGGUAUAGUAGCUGUGUUGGGCGCCUUCAAUCCCAGCCGGACAUGCGUAUCCGUUUUAGCAUCCAUUGCCACUCAAAAAGACAAAAAGCAGUCGAACCAGACGUUUGUUUGCAGUCGUGCGGUAGAGUUGGCCUAAGACAGAGUCGUCGCCGCUAGCUAGCGCCGCUUGCCUUCGGCACACUGAGUGGUCUGGGGUUGUUGUCUUAGCUGGAAGUAAGAUGGGAUCCGUCACGGCUAGCUCCGCUCACCUUAGUCGCAAUGUGCCACGCCCGGCCGUGGCCUUGGCUGGCGGCAAGACGGGGCCGUCGCAGCUAGUGCCGCCCACUUCCGACGCACCCAAUGGCAGGCCAAGGUUCUGGCUGACCCGCUCCUUGAAAAAUGGUGGAUGGUGGAGCUGCAACGCGUGCAGCCGGUGACCGAGAUUCCGCCGGAGAUUGCGCACUCGCAUUAGAAGAUGCGAACACAAUGCAAACUAAACAGUCAAAGAUAAAUGAUGAUUCAGUGCUUCAUCUACCUCUGUACUAGUAGCUAAUUAGUUCUCACCUAUUUACGUAUGCGAUCUAUUACUAGUAGCUUUGUACUAGUAGCUAUCUACCGAACUUUGAAGUAUGCGAGCUAUCUACUCUGCUUUUCAAUCGCACACACGGGAAAAUAACAAAUUGGUUAAAGUGCCUUUUAGUUAAUUUAGUGCCUAAGACCAUAUUUGACUGGAAAUCUAAACCUCAGUUACACAUAUAACAUAUCAAAGAGCAACUAAUCCAUAUUCAUGAAUAUAUCUUUAUUUGAGCAUAAAACCACUGUGCAUCUAACAUCAAAAGAAUUGGUAAGAUAAAUUAUUACAUCGCAAGGUAGUUUUUUUGUAGAGCAAUCCUGAUAUACAAAGUUUAUAUAGAGCUAUUUAAAAGUGUUUGUCUUGUAUGUGACUUGAUUGACUACCCAAGACUUGGAAGAACAAAGAAAUGAUUUCUUGUUAGAUAUAAACUUCAAUUGGGAAUAUGACUUAUAAGUGAACAAUACCUUAAUUGGCAGCUGGUCGUUUCUGAGAUGUUGGCCAUCCCUACCCCGCUAACAUUUGGGAACUCUAGAUACAAUGUUGGUCCAAAAGUCAAUACAAGUGAAUGACAUGUGCAUGUUCAUUUUAAUUUCUAGCGAAGUAAAAAAUCACAAGAUAUUCACAGUCCUAGUUUUAGUGAAACCUGAAAAGCACUUGAAGAUAGGUCAAAACAUUUUGCAAACAUCACACGGUAUUCACAGGAUUAAUAGCAAAAUAUUGAUAUUUUUCUUUGAUAUACAAUAAUCUCUUUCAUUAGAGUUGGCAAAAAAGAGAACAUGUCAAAGGAGAAGUUUGAUACAUUAAAAUUUAAAAUAAACUUAGGUGGUACUCUAUUAGUAGUGAACUUUGAUUCUGAUGUGUCUUUACUAAAUCAACUCAUGAUGCUGAUGUAUAAUUGCUCCCUCUUUUAUUUAAUUGUCCACGACUGCCAUAUACUGAUGGAUAAGAAGCAAAUAUGUGCACAUGAUUCAGAGUUGCCAACCUUAAGCAUAUUUUUAUAUCUGGACAGAAGUUGGGUAAUGAUAUAGCUAGUACUGAACCUAACAGGGCCAUGAGGGCACCCCUCUCCACGACCAAGAGACCAAGGAAGAAUACCCUGCCAUGGCGCAGGACUAGAAGGAAGCUUGGUCGUUUUCUUCAUCUUUACUAUUAAGCUGAACCUCGACCUGUCUGCACCAAGCUUGACUAUCUUCACCUUCACGCCUAGGUAGAGAGGAUGGGCAAGAAAGAACCUCCUGAUCCGAAAAAAACGGAUCGGAGAUCUCGCGCACAUCCCCAGCCACCACAAUCCGUCGGCGGCCUCCAGGAGGCUGGAUCUCGGGGAUGGCUGUGUCCGGGGCGGAGGGAGAUGGCUGGAGGCGGCAGGUGGUGCUCGGGGGGUGGCAUGAGAGCAGAGGGUGCGGUCGUGGCCACGGCGUUGUCACGCGCAUCCAUGCGCCGGCACAAGGUGAGACGUCCCUCGUCGGUCCUGGCCGCGGCGCUGGCCAAGGCGCCUCCUCCUUCUCACACCCAUACUCGCUCAUGCAGCCGGCGCGGCCGGUGGCAUCGGCGCGGCUGCCCGUAACUGCAGUGGUGAGCGCUGCCAGGAGUGUGUGUGCAACCACGGAGAUCCUAAUGCCGCACGUCUCAGCACUUUCUCGUACGUGGCCGCGGAGGUCACAACGAGAAACUGCAACGCCGAUGAUCUGGAUGCGGCCUUCGAAUCAGAUGUGAAGCCAGCGCUGGCAUGCGACUACGCCGGUGCUGCCGACAACGGCACAACUAUGGUGAAGGAUGGGUCAGCCUCGAGUGAGGUGGACAUGGAACAAUGCACAGGCGUCUAUGAUCGCAGUACCAGAGGCGACCAUGGACGAGGCAGAUUUGGACGAUGCUGCUUCGUUGUCGUGCGUCAAUAUGUCGGUGCCGGCGUCUCGGUGUGUGAGAGAGGUGAAGAUGAUGGUGCCAGCGUUCGUAGAGACGACGCCACGCACAACAUCGUCGGCAAUGGAUGCAUGGGUAGUCAUGGCGGCGGGGGCGGUGGCCUCCGUUGGUCACUGCGGUGGGGGUGGCGGCCCUCGAUAACCGCGAUAAGGAGAUCAGGUGGCACAACAGUGCAUAUUCAAGUGUGUCGGCAUAUUUGCAGGCAUAGCAGCGGUGGUCGUGUGCGGCACUCGAUGCCGGCUCAAAGAGGAUUCUCGUCCGGUGCGAGGGUGGCGGCCAUCGCACAAGGAUGCUCGAGGCGCGAGCGGCGGAGUCCUACGCUGAUGAGCAAGGGGCGCAGUGGUGGUUCCGCGUCGACUUCUAGCUCCGGAGCAGCAGCUCCGACUGUAUCAAGCAUGCUGCAAUGUGACUGGCGCCGGUGUGGAGUAGCAGCGGCCAGUUCCGCACCGAGACAUGGGCGCCCACCCGACGGCCGUGAAGGUGGGCGUGGAGUACUGACGAAGGCGACUAUAUAAUGAUCUAUCAUCAAGAUGCUGAUUGGAACACCGCUUCAUGUCCGGGGUGAAAAUUCUUGUCCUGACCAUUAUUGGUCGGGCUCAGCAACGACGAGGGUAUACCUUCUUGAAGACGUUGCUAUGGAAGAAGUCGACUUAGUCGUAUGUGUUAAUUUCAUAUCUUGUACUCUCCUGAAUAAUUAAUAAAAAUGGUUGUAUGCAUCGCAUUGAUGCAGAGGUCGGGGGUUUUAACCUCCUUUUCAAAAAAAAACAGGGCCAUGAGUAACUUUUGUCCUAGUUCCAUCUUGAGUGCCAGGAUUUUGCCCAUCGAUGCAUAGUGUGCGCAGCAUAGUAGAAGUGAUCAUCACUCGCAGAAAUAUUAUAGUCCAAUUCUGAAGGGUUAAUUUCCAUGUGUUUGAACACAAGAAACUGGGCCAUGGAAGAUGAAGUACGGGGAGCUAUUUCUGAAGGAUUAAUUUGCAUGUCAUAGAUAUUGAACUCUUUGUUUAUCUGUUUUAAUCUUAUCUCCUCCGUAUACAAGAGUGCUGAUAAUCUGUAUAUUCCAAGCGCAACAAGCCAACAAGGUACCUAUGGACAAUGAAGUGCGAGAAGCUCCUUCCAUGCUGAAGAAAUUUGUAGAUGUUGAUCCGCGGAGAGGGCAAUUUCUAUCGAUCCUGCCCUGUUUUCUUGUGAUCCAGGGGCAACAAUUGUUAAUGAAGUAGAUGGGUAGGAGAAAGGAUGUAGCCAUGAAGAGGUUUUGGCGACAAUCUGUUAUCACACGGGAAAGAAAAAAGAUUGUUUUACUGUAUUUCUAGAACGCAACUGCAACUAGAGAUACCUUGUGUUGUUUGAGUGGUGGGGUCCAGCGGCACGUGCUGGCAGCUGGUUGGCCCUACACGAUAGUGCAUGCUGGGAACCCAGCAGGAGAGCCCCACCCCAGAAAAGGUGUUUGGUUGGUUUACAUGCAACGAUUUACUUCCUCUGUUCCUAAAUAUAAGUCUUUUUAGAAAUUCUAUCAAGUGACUACAUACGGAGCAAAAUAGGUAAAUCUAUACUUUAAAAUAUAUCUACAUACAUUCAUAUGUUGCAUUCUAUUUGAAAUAUCUAAAAAAAAUUAUAUUUAGAAACGGAGGGAGUAUUAAUGAUGAUUUAUUCCGUAAUAACCACUCCCGCAAAUCUCUCUCAAAUCCAACUGCUAGGGCCCUGCAUUCUACGUACUUCUGUAUAUAGGAACAUAUUUUGUUUCCAGACGGUGAGAUUUAUUUCCAGUGCAAAUUAAUUCUGCUUCCUUCCAAGAAUAUUUUGUUUCCGAAGAUAGUGAGAUUGCUCCCAACAAGAUUAUUUUGAUCUACUAGUAUUUUCUUCCGACCGUGGAUUUUUUGCAUUAAAUUAUGUUUCCAAUGAUUUUUUUUCUUCCUACCAAUAUUGCUCCCAUUGAACUUUAUUUCACCUUUUUUUCCUGUCAUCAUCGCAUCCAACAGAGAAUAUAAUUUGCUUUCAAAGAAAAAAUAUUUUGCUUCUGUGACCUAUGAGAAUGCUUAGAAGAAAGAUAAAGAUGAUUAUUGAAGCAGAAACGUAGUAGGUUGUUGCUUCCAAUAGCUUUCACAUUUUUUUGGCUUCCAACCGAUGCACUUUAUGUCCUAAUGAGUGAGAAACAUAAUUUGACAAUUGUUUAAGCAGGAACAAAAAAAUACCGAAGCAUUUCCAUAGUUUUGUUUAAGAAUGAAGCAAACAUGUAGGAUACUCGGAAGCAUAUUGUACAAACGACGGAAACAUGUCACGUAUGAUACGGAAGCAUGUAUAGGGAACUAAACCAAAUGAUACAUAGCUACCCAGAAACCAAAUACAUAGAAGAGAGAAUUCCUUAUUUAACAUUGUCUUAAAAUUUGUUGCCUUAUUUGACACUGAAAACUUUUUUCUUCCUUAUAUAACACCGUGUCUAAAUUUUAUGCCUUUUAUGACACUUCCAUCCAUUUAAAGCCAUAACGGUGUUAAAUGACACCUGAAAAGACCUAUUUACCCCUCAUGUGAUAGAUGAUCUAAAUUUGUGUGUAUUCAGUGAUAGAGGGAACUGACACUUUCAAACUGCUUGUGCAGAGCGUCGCGGUAGGCAACGAGGCUGUGCCUCGGCUUCGACUGGACGCUGGCCGCUUGGCUCCUCUGGAUGAGAUGGAGUACAUCACAUAAGCAGCUGAGCAGUAUGUGUGUGCUCGUCGAUGCGGGAGGAUGGACUAAUGUGAGCGAUACGUGCGUGAGGAUGGGCUUGUGCGUGCAACAUUCGUGAAGAUGGUCCUACGGCAAGCUGCUGAUACAUGGCUGACCGGCACGCGGGUAUUUCAAUAUGUACGCGUACUUUCCGGCUACAGGCUAAUCAGACUGUACGGUUGUCGACACCCAAAAGCCACGAGCCCUUAGAUGCAUGCAGAUACUAGCACCAGGCCUGACUAGCACGUAAGAGUACGUGAGCAACCUAAUAUGUAUGUACGUGCAAAACUAAUCAAAGAUGAGCUACCGCAUGCAUGUACUAUUGUACUUAUGCAUGUUUGCUUCACUGUAUAUUCUGCAUUCAUUUUAUUUUUCAGUAAUUAAAUCUCUUUGGUACAAAAUCAACGUCGAACACCAUCCAAGUAAAGUCACAUAUUGAAGCUAAACAACAACGUAAAUUUUUGGUCACAUACCCUAUGAGCGGCAAAUUGGUCUUUUCAGUUGUCAUUUGACACCGUUAAGGCUUAAAAUGGAUGAAAGUGUUAUAAAGGGCAUAAAAUUUAGACAUGGUGUCAUAUAAGGAAGAAAAAAGUUUUUCAGUGUCAAAUAAGAAAAUAAUAUUUAAAACAGUGUUAUAUAAGGAAUUUUCUCUACAUACAACCCUGAAGCAUUGCAUAUGCAACAACGAAUCACGAUAUUCCCACUCUUGCAUGUGUGGUCAAUCAGUCAAGGAGUCUGUUGCAUCAUUGACAGGAAGCAUCAGAAAUGAUGCCGAGGCAUCGUUCGGAGCAACGUGUCCGAGGAGAAGCACAUGGCGAGGUCACGGCUGCGUAGAUUCCACUAUGAGCAGCAUGCAGGAGGGUCGAUUACUCAGCGUCGCUACAGCAAAGGGUCAACAUUCCGAUGAGAUCGGAUCAGCGACCACCUCCUUGUCAUGCUCCUCGUCCCAUCUUCGGUAAUAUUCAUAUUAGCGAAAUGAGAUCUGCCGUUACAUUGGACUCUUGCACGCCUCGCCAGCACCACCAAAGGAAGACGGUAUGGCACAACACGGUACCAGAGCAUCCCCUGCUCGAUCCAGUGACCUCCGCCUGAAAAGACCCUGCACCUUAAGGCAAAACACUUCCCGGCGGUAGGAGCAUGCAUGCAUGUUCUGGAGCAAUGAUCUUUACAUCUGUACACCUAAGAAGCAUGCCAAAGAGUGAAGUUCCAUCUGGGCCAGAAGCAUGGAAGAAGCAUAUGCACGUAAGAAGCAUGGAUGAUCUGAAGCAAUAAUUCUUUUCUAUCACAACAUAAGUGAGACAUACUGGAAGCACAUAAAUUUGACUGGAAGCAACUAAUAAAUAUUUGAAAAAUGCAAGAUAGCAUCCAUGCCGCUGAUAGCCAGAUGCAGAAAUUUGUUAUCUUAAAGAAAACUAACCUAGUUGUGUGUUUUGUGAACUUAUAUCAAAUCAAAAUGCGAUAAAUAGGAUGGGAUCAACACAUGUCAAUUGGUAUAAAAUACACUCUAACCGGGUCAUAUUUGCACUACAUAUUCGUUCCCAUUUGUUCAGAUAUUAUAGCUAUAUUGUGGAACCUGUACAUCGUGAUUGCAAAGAAAUCAAAACCCAUCAACAAGUUGAGGUUGUGACUUGUUAGCCUUGGCUUGGUAGAUCUGUGCGUACAUGCUACUGCUGAGAUGACGAAACGAGUCGCCGCUGCUGAGAUGGGCAGGCGUAGGAUGCGAUCUGCCGCCACAGUUACCCCGCAGCCGCUUACUGAUGACGUGAACUGCCGCUGAUGGUUGGACUCAAGGGCGCAGAUUGAGGUGGAGGGAGAUGGGCAAAGAUGCAUGCAGCCGACGAGGAUGGAGGGCAGCAUGAUGUUUUGUGUUUUUGACCCUUUUUUAAAACUUAUUUGAGAUCUGACCCUAGUUUGAAAAAAAAUCAAGAUCGGACCCUUUUGCUACCACCAAGGUCCAUGGUGGUAGGGUGUAACAGCCUACCGCCAGGGACCUUGACGAUAAAAAACAUCCCUACCGCCAAACAUACUGGCGGUAGCCUGUACAACCCUACCGCCAAGGUGCUUGGUGGUAGGCACGAGCACGCACCGUGUUCAGCACUUAGGAGAAUUUUGCGGUAGGGCAUGCAACCCUAUCGCCAGGGACCUUGGCGGUAGGCUGUUAGACCCUACCGCCAUGAACCUUGACGGUAGCAAAAAAGCCAGAUCUCAAAAUUUUAUCAGACUAGGAUCAGAUUUCGAAUAGAUAUCAGAAAAGGGUCAAAACACGAAAUUUAGCCGCAUGCUGUAGGAGGACGCAACGAGCCAUCCGAAACUUCCGCUGCGCCCAAUAAUGAUUAGCGGUUUGCGUGGGUCUUGCCUGGAUUUGUGGGCAAAAAGAGAAGGUUGGGAGUGUUGGAUGGAAAAUCAAUCAACGGUUCUGGACCAGUCUGACGGAUUAGACAAUAUCAGACGAUAGAGGGGAAGUGUUUCCCAAAUUUUAAAGUCACUGCUGCAAGCCGAACCGUCAGUUCGAUAGCCGUACACGCUCACAUUCGUGGCAUGGAUAUUGUAAUGCAACGGACAUACCACAUACUCCCUCCGUCCGUGAAUAAGUGUACAUCUAGUUUUUGUCUUAAGUCAAGGUUUUAAAACUUUGACCAACUUUAUAGGAAAAAGUAACAACAUUUAUGGCAUUAAAUUAGAAUCACUAGAUUCAUUUUGAAAUGUAGUUUCAUAAAUUACCAAUUUGAUGUCAUAUAUGCUACUACUAUUUUCUACAAAGUUGGUCAUAUAUGCGGAGCAAAUUAGAGCAGCCACGUCAACAUCAACAAGGCCACUAACACCUCCAAAAGCCUACUGAAGGGGCCAUCCAACAAUGCCAAUUCUUUGACAAUGGUAAGACAUAGGCUGUAGACAUAAAGUCAUUCCUGGCUCCUGCCACCAAGGACCCAUAUGGGACCAUUCGAAAACUCUGCCACAUCUUCAGUAAAGUCAACCAGCAGCGGUCCAAAACUCCGUCCAAAACACUCCAUUGAGCAUUCUGGUAGGUAGAUCUAGUAGGGAGGCCUCAUCUGGGCCCGAUCACCCGCCGUCCACCCCCAUUUGCAAUGCUCGUGACAUCCAAUCGACGUGCGCUUCCAUGUGCCACAUUCAUGUCCACGAUCCAUGCACCACGCUUGCCACCACUGCAAAGGACAAACCCGAUCGCCCAACUAGGAUGAUAGCCACCACAUAGGCCAAAUCUGAGUCGGCAUCCCCGUUGCAGCCGCCGCCGCCGCACACGAAUCCACUGCACGCACAUUUGGUGGAGAUGGCCAACCACCUACAGCUGCAAUGACAAAGAGUGUUUUCACGAGUUGUCCUAGGGCCACCGCACCGGCAUCGAGCCUGCGACGCACGCACACCAGAUCCAAAUGUAGCAACAUGUCCAUGUCACUGCUCUAGGAAGCAGUUAAGGUCCACUACUACUGUACAAAUUAGUGGAUUUAGGAUGAAAAAGAUGAUGGGAUCAAAAGUUAAGACACUAAUAUGGUUCAUUGAAUUUAAAAUUUAAAUAUCAUAUCAAAUAUGAUGAAUUUCUUGAAAUUUCUCACUCCUAAUAUUAAUCAUGAAAGUUGGAAGGUGCGACAUAACAACAACACAUCAGCCAUGUUUUUUUAUAAUAUAUUUUCCAAGCUAGAAAUAUAAGGCUUUCCAUUUUGCUAGAUAUACCUUCGCCUAACAACGAGUCGAAAACUAGUUUCAACAAGUCAAUUUUUUACUAGUACUCAUAUCCCUCCCUCCGCUCGGCUCCCAUAUAGGGCCACUUCUUUUUUGGCUUCUAGGCGACUUAGCUAUAAAACUAAGCCGAAGCUCAACUCGGUUUUGUAGGUUGGACUUAAUUGCUAGUCACCUUUGCUCCUUCAUAGUGGAGAGAUUGGCAACUUUGCUUUGCUUCCGAUUCGUAUUGCUAUGAUGAUGUUUGAACUAAAUCGUUCUUUGUAGCUGGUAGGAGGGUUGACAUAAUCAACAUUUCAAAUUAAUUACUAAUGAUUAAUUUCAUGAUGUUUGAACUGAAUCGAUCUUUUUAUUGUGACAUUUAGCAUUUUAGAUUGUUCAGAAAUCAGUUUCAUGUUCAUAUUAAUUAUGGGGGCACUGUAGACUUUUCAUCGGGCAAAUCCGAUAAUAAGCUCAUUUUUUUCUGAGAAAACAAUAAGCUCAAAUGACCUAAGCCAAAAUGUACUGGAGUGUGGUUUCCCUAGCCAGCUGUGGAAAAGCUUUUUUUUUAGAAUCAGCUGUGGAAAAGCUUUUUUUUUUAGAAUCAGCUGUGGAAAAGCUUUUUUUUAGAAUCAGCUGUGGAAGCUGGUUCUGCACAGGCAGCAGCCCGAAAGAACUGGCCCAUAGUAGCAGGUUGUGUUGCCAUUCUUUUCUUUAAGGGAAAUGUUUGCCCUUCUAUUCGGGAGAGCCUAUACGGCGCUUCAACCGCCACAAACGCGAGAUGGCGCUCACAUGGGUGUAGACGAGCCGCGGCCAAGCGGCGCUUGGUCGCUGGGUCGCCCGGCUCGUCCCGCUCGACCGCUAAGUCGCACUCUCGGUUGCCCUCACACGCCCUGCUGACUCGCUCGCACAUCGUCUUUCUUGGUCUGCCCUCGCACGUUGGUACAUGUUUUUCUAGUUUUCGAUGUUGCUUUGCUUUCGGGGUUUUUUCUCAAAAACAUUUUUGAAAUAAAAAAUCUUGGAUUUUAUAAAAAUACAAAUUUUAUAAACUACUCUUUCAUUUGAAAUCCAUGGACUAAAAAAUCAUGAAUUCCAAAAAUGAUGAAAAAUUUCAAAAAAGUUCAUGAAUUUGCAGGAAAAUUUUACCAAUUGAAAAGGUUUGCGAAUUCCAAAAAAAUUAGAAUUUGAGAAAAAAUCAUGAAUUAUAAUUUUUGUUAAGAAUUUGAAUUUUUUUAUGUAUUUGAAUAAUUUCAUGAAUUUGAAAACAGUUCAUGAGUUUGAAAAAACAUUCGCAGAUUUAAAAAACGUUCAUUGAUUUGAAAAAAGUGCAAGAACAUGAGAAAAGUUUGUGAGUUUAAAAAAGUACAUGAUUUUUUUGUGUAUUCGAGGAAAGUUCAUGAAUUUGAAAAAAAAUCAUGAGUUUGAAAAAAGUUCACGGAUUUCAAAAACGUUCAUGGAUUUAAAAACAGUUCACGAUUUUGAGAAGGUUCACAGAGUAGAGGAACGUUCGUGAAUUUGAAAAAACUUCAUGACUUUGAAAAAAGUUUGCGGAUUUGAAAAGCAUUCAUUAUUUUGAACAAGUUCACAAAUUGAAAAGGUUCACGCAUUUCAAAAAAAAUCAUAAAUUUUUAAAAGGUUGACAAAAUUUAAAGAGUGUAUGAAUAUGAAAAAGGUUUGCAAGUUCACAAAUUCCAAGUUGAAAAAAGCUCACACAUUUAAAGAAAGACGAGUAAAGAAAAAAAACAAAAAAGGAAAGGAAGCACGAAAGAAUUAACCUAAACCCGUUCUGAUAAAACCAUAGAAAACCGCCCCCAAAAAGCUCGGUGGGAACCUUCUAGAAGGUUCCCAAAACCAGGGGACCCCUCGCUAGCCCAUAAGAAACCUGUGUUGUAAGCACUAAAUAGGAAUCGUGAUUCUACUAUGAAGAGCUCCUCGUUUGCACCUUCAGCGGCACGAAGAAUAGCUCGUUCGUGUGCUCCCCCUAGUUGGUUCGUGGCCUGUAUAGCUCCUGACCGCUGCUCUCGCUCUUCUUGACUUUGAGAACUAAUCAUUUGAUCCAUCUCUGCUCGCUAGUGAAUUUUUUUCUCUUGCAAGCAUGUACUAUGAAAAAGUUAUUCAGAAAAAAAAAUCAAGAAUUUGAAAAGGUUCACCAAUUUGAAAAAUAUAUUGAAUUUGAAAAAUGUUCACAACAAUUUAAUAGUUCACAAUUUUUAGAAAAUGCCACGGAUUACAAAAUUGGUUCGAGAGUAAAAGAAAAUGAAAUGGAAAAAGUCCAUCGAUUUUGAAAAAAUAUCAUUCAAUUGAAAAUGUUCGUCUAUUUUGGAAAACAAUUCUUGGAUUUGAAAAAAUUAACUAAUAUUUUAAAAAAGUUUACGGAUCUGAAAAAGGUUAAUCGAUUUUGAUAAAAAGUUCACGGAUUUACAAAAAAAUCUUUGAUUUUGAAAAAAUGUCCAUGGAUUUGACAAAGUUUGCAGAAUUUGAAAAAUAGUUCGCUAGAAAAGUUGCAAAAGAUUGAAAAACAAUCACAGAUUUGAAAAAAAGAUCAUGAAAUUUGGAAAAAGUUCACUAGAGUUGCAAAAAAACUGAAAAUAAGUGUUCAGGGGUUUGAAAAAAGUUCAUACAUUUACAAAGAAAACUAAAAGUAGGAAAAAGAAAGAAAAACAAAAAAAAACAAAGAAAAA